GCGCUCCUACAGUUGGGCCCUUCUUUCUCCACCUCCCUCCCCCUCCCGCGCGUUGCUCCGGCUUGUGUUCCCGGGUUCCCUCCCCGGCGCGUCUUUCCCGGCCCGCCCGGUGCAUUGUGGGCUGACGUCUUGGUUUGGCUGUCUAGUGACGGAGGCUGCCGGGUCCGCUGGACCCUUGCGGAGUCUGUCGGAGGCGGGCUCAAGUUCAGGGCUGGGGACCCAGACCGAGACGCGGGGAUCCAGAAAGCUGGGGAGACGCGCUGGUGGCCUGGGGCGGAGGGCUUGGGUGGGAGUAGAGGUUACACACACACACACACACACACACACACACACACACACACACACACACACACACACGAACACACGAACACACCCGUGAAAGGGCUGAAUGAUCUGGGCGAUUGAAGCUGGCUCCGCACCCCCGCACUUCCGGGAGACAGAGCGACGCGGGUUAAUAUGGUUGUGUUCGCCCCGGGUGCGGGAGCGGCAAGUGGGUUGAAGUUGAGCGGGUUUGAGAGUGGCCCUCCCACGCCGAGUGCGCAUGGAAGUUUAGUUUCGGAGAAGGAUCUGCGCCGCAGUGUGCUGUGCUGGAAACCAGAGAUUUGCUGUGCUCGGAAUGAAUUCACCAGGGUCCCCGGCACAACACUUCAUUUUCUGGGGACGUGCCGGGAGGGGUUCGCUUUACCUCGGAGGGACCCCCUUCUAGGUGUGAAAGAUGCCACCCCGGCUCCUUGGGGUAUGGAAAGCAACAUAUAAAGGUUCGAAACUCAGGAAACCCCAGCGCUCGCCUGCACUAGCACAUACACACAGCCCCGCGCACACUCAGUUCGCGCCCGCCCUUCCUCCCUCCCUGAUUUGCUUCUGGGAAAACAAGCCUUGAGAGCUGCGGACUCGCCCCGAGUCACGGUGCUUAAGCAGGAGUCCCUGGUAGAAAGACUGAAAAAUCCCCUCCCCGCUCGAUGGUGGAUUCAUAUCCUGUGCGGCCUCUAGGAAGCGCUAGACACAUCUAUCUUGGGAGGCAUACAUUUUUACCUAGACUUUUCGUGGAAGGAAAUGGUCCCAGAAAGUUCAUGCGUCUUGCUUGGGGUAUACAGACAGCUGGAAAGUGAGCUCAGGUCUGUGUUACAUUCCUUUGUAUUUUCUGGCUCUGGCAAACUUUCCCUUAAAGUCAUAGUUAUUUGUUUGGAGAGUGGUACUGAUGGCAUAGAAGUUGUUCCCUUGUUCCUGUAUUUAGAAACUCCCAGACCUAGGACCUUGUGUAAUUAUGUAUCUUUUGCCCAAGGGGGUUCUGUGCAUCUUCUGCCUCCUGUGGUUUUAAGAGGCUGAUUUUCCACUUAGGUUAAGAAAUAGCAGUUUCAUCAAGGCAAAACAGAUCCCUGCUCUUGUUAAUGCUGUGCUGCUUGGAAGCCAUCAUCAACUUCCUCUUUGCCUGGGAGAAGGGUUUUUUCACAGUCCAGCUUCUGCUCUUUUUAGCCAUAUCUUGCUGAAAGCUCGGUUGGUAAGGGUUGGGCCAUGCUACCCUAAAGAACCGAGCAUCAGAGGCUGAAGUCAAUCAAUGAUUGUUUUUUGAUUCCUCCAAUUACUUGUGGUUGCUUUCAGUGCCCCUCCGGGUUUGCCCUCAGUCUUCCAAGGACUUCACAAAAGCCCUGUUUGGGCUUUAAUAAGUGUAAGGGGACUAUUGUUUAAGUCUUGAUGAUGGUCUUUUGUAAUGCAGGUUGAUUGUAAUCCCCACACAGUAUAGUUUCUUGUAUGAUGCCAGGUAUACCAAGUACCAGUAGCCAUAGCAACUGCUCUUUCUGGUCCCAUCCCCACUGUUUGCCCUCUUCCUUCCUUCCUUCCUUCCUUCCUUUCUUUCUUUCUUUCUUUCUUUCUUUCUUUCUUUCUUUCUUUCUUUCUUCCUUCCUUUCUCUCUUUCUUUCUUGUAUGUAAAUACACUGUAGCUGUCUUCAGACACACCAGAAGAGGGCAUUGGAUCUCAUUAGAGGUGGUUGUGAGCCAUCAUGUGGUUGCUAGGAAUUGAACUCAGGACCUCUGGAAGAGCAGCCAGUGCUCCUAACUGCUGAGCCAUCUCUCCAGCCCUGCUCUGUUUCUUUGUUUUCUUACUCUUCCUUUGUAUUGUUUCUAGUCAACCUUCCCUCCCCCCAUUUUUGGAUUUUCUAUUCCCUUUUGUUUCCACUUAUAAUUUGGCCACAUCUACCGUGAGCUCAUUUCAGUAGCCACCUUGAAAUGUUCUUGACUUGAUGUUACAAUCUCUUGCUUUCUCUCAUUAAGUUCCGUUGUGAGGUGCUGUCCAUCAUCACAUCAGUUGUGCCAACGUGGGAAAGAUCACCACAGUUGGAUGUGUGGACUGGUGACAUUCUCUACUUUAAAGGAGGGUAGAGUAUCCAGCCACGCCUUUCUGCCGCUUGUAUGCAACUCUGCCUUAAAUGAAUGUGGUCUCGGGGUCUCAGCUUGUGGAUAGAUUACAUAGUCUGGUUAAGAUUUGGGGAAAGAGCCUUCAACUGCACAUCCACAUUGGGGAAAGAGCUGCCAUCUAUGCUGGGGGCAGACUUUGCAGCUCAACUGCUUUAGACUCACCCCUGAUCCUGCCCACAACAUUCUGCUCUUGCUCUAUAAGGAAACCCAGUAAACUAGUUGGUUUUCCUGAUAAAAUUUGGUAGAAGCAAAUGUUGAUUUGUUGAUGGGACCUUAGAGAUUGGAGGUGGAUGUUGCUUAGUCCCUCCCACCAUCAUUACCCUACCUCCCACCUGGGGAUCGGGGAGGGGAUUCUUGUGACAGGUUCAUGAUCUGUCUCCUAAGUUUAGAUAGGUGAGGUUUGCCAAAUAGAUCACCACCCUUUUAGCCUGUGUUCUUAGCUAUUGUCCAGUCUAGAUGAAUGUUCAGGUUUUAUGUUAUUAGUCUUACUGUAUUAUCCCACAUUAUGUUUUAAAUGAGUCAGGUCAAGGGCAGUUAUACUGCUAUAACAAAUAGCCCCAAACAACUCAGUAGCUUAUAGAGAAAUUUACUUCUUGCUCAUUGUAUAUACUCAGGGUCAGAAGGGCUCUGCUUAAUGUGUUUAACCAGUCUGGAGACAGUUUUAUCUUGAAUUGUGCUUCCAGAAUCAUCUUAAACACCUUGGUGGAGAAAGAAAGCAUCAUGAAUUCAUGCCAGCAUUAAGAGCUUUUUCCAGGCGUGAUGCACAUUAUUGAAUUCAUAGACUGUGGCUAGUAUGAGUCAUGUGACUUAUAUGGGUACAGGGACAUGUGGUCCCACUGUGUGCCUGGAAGUCAGGAGCUUGAAGUGCCCACUUCUGUCUAGGUGAGGUCAUUACUACGGAAGCCAUCCACAAAUCUGGAUUAUAGCUACAGGGUUAUUUCCCACUCGUGCUCUACGUGUCUACAGAAGUCAGCUCUGUCCAUACUUGUACACACAUGUUCAUUCUUGGACCCUGGCCAACAGCAUCCUCAUUCUUCUAAACAUCGCUGAGAGCAUAGAGUACACAGAUAUUAAAGCUUCUACUGAAAGCAGUUCACGUGGUCAAGCCUGACGUCACAGGGAAGGGAAGCAAGUAUUUGUAAAUAGAGAUGCCAUCUGCCACACCCUACAAUCCACAUUCCAUCCAUUCCUCAGUCUCAGCCACCCCAAACACUUCAUAUCCCUCCUUUCAUAUAUUCUUAUUCUUAAUCAAAAUGUAAACUGCCUUAAGAGAUAGCUCAGUGACUAAAGGCCCUUGCCACCCAACCUGAUAACAUGGGUGCAAUCACUGGGACCCAAAUGGAAGAAGGGAAGUACUGAGUCUUCCAAGUUGUCAUCUGACGUGCACACAUACACACACAACAACAACAACAACAACAAUGUGAUUUUAUGUGAGUUGUUCUUUUAUUCAAGACCCAGAUCAAAUAAUCGCUCCCCAGGAAGCUUCCCACCACUGCCCCAGCCUACUCUCAAACAGUUUUAUCUUCUUUGGCAUUCACCACAGUGGGUACGUACCUGGAUUAGAGAACUCCUGUUGCUCUCUUCUGUCUUCUUCAGUUGUUACUUCAAAACUCAGAAAUGGUGUCAUUCCUAUUUUGUAUCUCUAGUGCCUAGUAAGUGCCCAUCCGGAUACUUGGUAAAAGCAUGUUAAUUGAUUUUUUUUUUUAAUUUCCUUUACUUGUGGAAUUAUGGGGCAUUUCAAUACCAAAGCAGAACUAUUACCUAGACUUAAUUAGUAAUAUUGGAUCAUGGCAAAUUCCCUACCUAGGCUGAUAAGCCUGGGCCUCUCUCCCUCACCUCUUGGCAUUUGCCCAGUUAACAACCCCCACCCCUGCCCCCUGCAUCUGUCCCAGUCUCUCUACACAGCUACACCUUACCUCCCUCUGACCUCAUACCUUUCUCUUAAACCUGUUUUCCUCUAGCCACACCGUCCGCUGCUGGCUCAGUUACACUACAGUUUAGAAUCAUUUUCUAAACUUGAGUGACUUGUGACAGAACGUCGAUUUCUUAUUCUUACUUCAUGCUUAUCAAGGUUGGCAGGGUCUCUGAUAAUAUCACCUUCCUCUAGGAUCCAGGCUGCUGGACUGCCCUCUUCCUGGGACCUAAAUACUCUCUCAGAAAUAGAGGGAAAGAGAGAUUUGAAGAUUCUUGUCUGAACUAUAACAUGCCUUUGCUUUAAAAUGUUACAUGUCACUUCUCACAGUUUGAUUGGCUGAAACAAGCCACCUGUCCCCAUUCAGCCACAGGCAGCAGGAAAGCAAAGAGCUGGUAAUAUUUGUGACCAAUCAUAAUGAUUCUCACACAGGUCUUGGGUUCUCCAAACAUGACAAGCUGUUUGUUUCCCCUAAGAUCUCUUUAACAUGAUAUCCAACCCCUGACUUCCUGGACCUCGGUGAUUUGUUCAGAUGACAAAGCAUUCCAUGGCCCCCCUAAUGUUCUCACCUACCACCUAAACUAUCCUCAGAUCCUCCUCGCUGUAACCCACUCUUCCAAUGUCCCUGUAAUUUCCCCACCUUUCUUUGUGUCUUGAAUUUAGAGCCAGAGAGACCCGGGAAUCAGAUGGAUAGGGUUAGGGAUAGAUCUUAGCUGGAGGGCAGGUUAGGCACAAAAGCCACAUCAGGUUUCUUGGUGCUUUACCACACUGACUUGUGCCUGGGUUGGUAGGUACACAGAGAUCCCUAAGGGACAGGCUAGUUUUGCAUGAACUGCCUUGGAGGGGAGGAAAAAAGCCCUGCAGGUAUGUAUGCUUGGGUUGUUCUGCACUCAGCCAUUUUGGUAGCUCACUCUCAUGUCCAUGAGGAGUGACUGUGCAUUGAGAAGUGCCAAAAAGGGUGUCUACCAGGUAUCCUCAAGUGGAAAGCUAGGGCCGGGUCGAUGGCGAUGUCCUUUUAGCAGUGGGAUUUGUUUUUGGUAUCUCUUUGUAUAGUUGAUUGUGUAUUUCUGAUGUUUCCCUUGAGAUCCCUUUAACCUAACCCAGCAGCAGCCAUGCAUUAAGAAGACAGAGGGAAGCAGUGCCUCUGGUGUCUGUAGUGUGCUGAGCAGUAAGCACGAUGCUGGGCAGAGUCCUAAGUAGUUCUUGGUGAUUCACCAGUGCCCCUGUGAUGUCUUAUGCAUCUCUUCUUCUGGGACAAGAAGGUCUGUGUGACCAAUGCCUUUAUGGUGAUGGCAGUCCACACAGAAUAUCCACAAACUCCACAUACCCACCAAGUAGCCCAGGUCCCAGACAUCACCUUCCAAGGUCUGAGCUCCCAGGACAGGCAGCAUUCUCGUGUUUAAGGGCCUCUAGACUUAAAGAAUGUGAUGGUCAGAGCGGGGAGAAGGGAUGUGUGGGCAAUGGCUGCUGGAAAUGUGGAUGGAAAAGUUAGAAGCCUUUACGGCUGAUCGAUAAAGCUCCAAGGGAAAGAUGAGCACAUGCCAAGGGCCUGAGACGACUUCCCAAGGAGAAGAGGAGAGGGUGGCUUUCUUUGGGCAGGAGGGGAAGAUUGAGCCCUCAGAAGGGCUUUCAGAUAGUGGAGCAAUAGUAUUAUAGGAGAAUUGACUUGCUCUAGAUUUCUGAGAUCAAAGCUAGGGAAAUGGUUAGAAGUUAAUGGAAAGGCUCUGUUUGUGUUCUGGAAUGGUUUCUCAGUAGAAUAGUUGUUGUACUCACAGAAGUGAAGUUCUGCCACCAGACACAUUUGUUGUCUGUGUGUAAGAUGCUCGGCCAGACCCCUUUAUGAUCUCUGUGAGCCCAUCCUAAUUACAGCAACCCUCACCCACUGCCACAGUUGACAGAAGCUCUGUCACAUACUCUGGUUUAGAAUCUAUCCAACCUUUGUGGGUCUAUAUUUGACCCUUUUAUAAUUAAAAAUUUAUGAAUCUGGGAUGAUGUUUUCAUAUUGGAUGGACAUUAUGUCAAAGGAAUUACUUCUAGUAUCCAUGAGGAUCACUGAAGAAAAGUAGGUUCUUCCUGGUAUGAACUGGGCCUUCUCCUUUCCCACCUGUCUAUAGUUAGUCUGUGUUUAUGGGCCCCUUUAAAAACAGAUGCGCCUGAGUUUUAGCCAGUACAAAGAGGGUGGAUGUAAUACAUAUUUAUUUACAGGCUUGCUUCAGAAAGUCACACAUCUUCCCAUGUCACCUGACAAUACAAGGGACUUCAAGGACAUACAGAAGAACAGAGUCCUUGGUCUCUGAAUGACCCUGUGGAAGGAUACUCACUGGCCAGAAGUAGUCCUUCCAGACUUUGAAUGACAAAUCAACUUCAUUGUGCUGGUCCACUGGGAUUUUGGAGUAAAGAUGGCAAUAUCUUCUAAUUCCACUUGGUGUUUAGGAUGCCCUUCAUAAGAAGAAACCCUGGGUCAAAGUUGAGGCUUAUGUUCUGGCUUUCCCAGCUUGAAAAGAAAGAAACUUGUAUACUGUCACCUUCCUAUUGAGGGUGCAAACUUCAUGAGGUAUGUUAGUUGUGAUCCUAUCACCUGGCCCUUGAAAGAAGUCCUCUGGAAGAGCUGAGGCACAGAGAUGAUUUCCAGUGAAGAAUAUCAUGUAACCACUUUGGAAGAUGACUUGUCUUGAAAAUACGAGCUGACCUGGAGGAGACUGUAGAUGGAUUUAAGUGUGCAAAUCAAGCUGUAAGGGCAUAAUGGAGACCAUGUGAGCAUGGUUUUAUUUUUUGACAAAUUGAGAAAGCCACAAACCAGGAACGAUGAUACAUACUGUAAUUCCAGCACUCAGGAAGCUGAGACAGAAGGAUAGCUACAAGUUUGAGGCCUGCCUGGUAUACACAGUGAAUGCAGUGUCUCCAAACAAACAGUGAACACAGCAAUGAAAAUAUGGAGCAUUUAACCAGAGUACUCAUUGCCUGGCACAGCAGGGAAGUCUACAGCCAUGCAGCUUACGCCACUUCCGAUAGGACACUAAUAGUGAGCAAAAGCCAAAGGCCACUUCAUGAUGGCCAUCUGCUUAUAUCCUUGUCAUAAAGUCCCAGAGUUCCGGAAGGCUCGGGUGCCUAUGACAAGCAGGGAUCUCCUAACCAAAUGGUCAUUCUGGGCAAGGUUUGUCUACACUUUGAGAAAAUCAUCUGUCACUGAAAUGCCCAGCUGUAGUUAAGUGAGUAACACAAUAACUUAGUGGCCAAAAAUGGAAUGAAAGGCCAGGUGUCAUGGGCGGACCCUGAGUCUUUGUUUCUUUGGAUAACCCAGCCAUCAAGUAUGCAGGUCAGUUGGUGAUGUUCACCAGGCUCUGAAAAGUUGUUUAGAAACUGUAGCGGCAUCGUUUACAUCUUCCACUGCGUCCUCACCCCACAGAGAACCAACACUGGAGCUCUGAAGCAAAUCACUCAGUGAUCCAAAACAUUAAAGAAAAGAGCAGGAUAGGUGACUCAGCAGUUAAGAGCACCGGCUGUUCUUGCAAAGGACCCAGGUUUGGUCCCGAGCUCACAGCCCCCUGUAACUCCAGCUCUGUGGGUUCUGACACCUUCUGGCCUCCACAGGCAUGGGGUAUGCAUAUGGUGGUUUUGGACAAAAUCCAGGGCAGAGGUAAGGAAGGGAGAGAGGAGAGAGAAUGCAGGGAGGUAUGGAGGGAGAGAGAGGGGGAGAGAGGGAGAGACGGAGAGAGAUCGAGAUUAAUUUCCUUAAAAUGUUGGCCAGGAAAUCAGGCAUGCUCUAAUUUGCAUACUCUUCCAAGUAAUUUAGAAAGUAUGGCUCAAUAUAGCUUAUGAGAAUCAAUCAUACACUCCCCACACAAAUGUCUUAGUCAGUGAUUUGCCAGGAUUAAAAGUUCUAUUUCUCAAUUUUCAGUCACUCACCCUGAGCCUCUCGAUUUUAUGUGUCCACUUACAUAUCUAAAAAUCUAAAUAAUUCUUCUCUUUGCAUGUCUUGCCUUUUCAAAGCUCAAAGUCGUUCAUGGAGAUGUUAUUGGAUUGCGCUGGGGACCGCAGUUCCUUGAUAAUGAGUAAUUGUUUGCUCAAGCUUUAGCCAAGUGUAAAUAUAAAUAUAACCGGGAUGGUUUACCCGUCCAUUGCCAUCCAUGCACUACUGUACCGAGUGCUGUGGCUGACGUGAGAACUGAAUGCAUGGAGCUGCAAUGGUGGACUCCAGGCCUGCUUCGUCAUCGUCAGAUAUGUCAUUUAACAGCUGAGCCUCGCUUUCCUCACAUGAAAAAUGAUUGCGAUGAUUGAUAUUUACCUCAGAGAAUUUAAAUGGGACUGCCACCGUACCUAUGGGAAAGUCACUGCUGAACUGGUGACAUUUCUGUAUAUAUGUAUGUUAUUUAGUGUUUAUAUAUUUAUACGUGGAUUCCUGAAAUAGCAGUUCCGCAGAGUUGAGCAUUAGAAAACAGCUGGUCUUUUGCAAGGCCCAGUUUGAGGCAGACCAUACAAGCUGCUAGAAUACCCUGGCCACAGUGUUAAGACAAAACUGAAAGAAACACAAACUGAAAGAGAUUUGAAUGAGGAAAUACACCCACACUUACAUGCUAACAGCUAAUAGGGGACUUUACUUUGAAGCUAGCCAAGGUUGCUUGACAGAAGGCUGAGAAAAGAUGAGGCUGCUGAGUGAAGCCAGAGAGAUUAUGCUCAAAGUCAAGUAGAUACCAUACAAUAAGCUUUUCCAAGGUCUAUCAUCUUGGGAGGAAAAACAAACCAAACCAAAACCCUUAUAUUGCUGUCUUCCCACUGGUCAGCAGACUUUCAGUAACUCUGCCUUGCUGUAAGGUGCAUCACAGUGUUGUGCAUUAGAGCAGUGUGGGCCACACAGGCAACUGGCAUGUUUCAAACUUCCACAGAUUUCUUGGCUUCAUUAUCAGGAGAAGUAUGCGAUCCCAUAGGUAAUGUUCAGUAAGAGAUGUAUCUGUCCUGCCCCGUCUCAGACUGAUCACGUUCUGCCCUCUGUCUCCUUGGCUGUAGGGCUCCUCUUCACUGGCUGUGAACUCCUUAAGUAAGGUUCCUGAUGUUCAUGUUUGUUCUCUAAGGUUGAGCACAGGGUCGGUCCCUGGAACAGAGCCGUUGCAUUGCAGUUGAACUUCUAGUAGCCAAGGCAAACCUCUGGACCCUCUGUGGUAGCACCAGGAUCCACCAACAGGCAACACAAGCUGAGGCCCGGAGGCUUCUGUGGGACCAUGUAUGAUUCCACUUCAUCUCCUGCAACCCUGUUGCUCUCCAAUAUGGCAAGAGGAGCAUUGGGUCUUCCUCCUUUGUUAAGACAUUUAUACCAGUUGAGCAAGAAGUCGGUGCUAGAGCGGCAGCAGCCGGUUUGGAGCGCAGUCUCUUCCUCAUGGAACCCUGGCCGGAUCACUGGUCUUCACCACCACUGUAAACUUCUAAAUUCCCUCUUGUUAAACAAAUUAGAGUGGGUUCAAGGUUAUAUUUUGAUAUUAAUAGUUUUACCCUCAUCGCCCCGUGAUCAAAGAGAAAAGGGUAAGGGGACAACUAUCAGCUGGAACUGUAGUACACUUUCCUUCUCUUACAGACCUAGUGCUUCCAAUGCGCCCUGGCUGUCUCUCCACACUCUCAAGGUCUUCUUCACUCAUCUUCUUGGCUGUGUGGAUCUGAAAACACACAGCGUUUGUCCGUAAUCUCAUCCUCAUCCACACUGACUGUGGAUAACCGGAUGUGUUUUGUGAGGCCCCUCAGUCUCAACAUGGUUUUACAGACUCGGUCCUAAGCAGGUAUCACAUUCUUACUGACCCACAGCUGCUGUGCUACUUAGGUUUGUGUCUGUUGGAAUUCCAGGGCAAAUAUUUAUAAUUAUAUCAGCUCAGAGAGUACUUCUUCUGCAUACUUCUGAGUUCAGAACCUCAGACUUUUUUCUUAAAGCUACUCAGCGUCUCACUCAGCCAGAGGAGAAGAGACCUGUCCGCUUUAGCUCUCCACUCUUUGUAGUUCAACAGCAGCCUGGUUUAGGCCGGGACAAGGGUGAAGGUGGUGGAGGUGGUGGUGAUGUAUUGAUGAUAAAGAGAACAAUAAUAUCUAUGAGAAUUUUAUUACCCCCAUUUUACAGAUAAAACAACUAAGCUUCACAGAGGUGAGGUAACUUCCUCUGCCAUCCAGGUAGGACUUAACAGAAGGUGGGGUUUACAUCUGGUUCCACGUGAUUCUCCACUCAUCCGCACUCCACCACUCCCCAGGUGGAUGGUCAGGGUCAGGAGCCUCGUGAGUGAGAACAACAGGUCUGUCGAGUUCUGCAGGGCUGAGCUGUUUAUCAUUGCGGAGGACACUCAUCACUGUGCUAAUUACAUUAAUUGCUGCCCACUCUGAGGCUAGCUCCUUCCUGCAAUGGCCCAAGACUGUAAUUACAGGUUGGAUUGGUUGGAAGUUGGUUGCUCUCUACCAUGUAGGGGAAAGGUCAAGACUAUGAACAUUGCUCUUCAUCAGACGCCUUACUGGAAGCAGAGAGGAAGGAUGAGGGUUCCUGUGGUAAUCUCAUGAUUCUCUAGAAGCAGGUGCUCUCCUACCCUCAUUCUGUUUGAGGGAGCCUGGUCAGCUGCUUGGAGUCCAAGAGCUAGCGGGAGAGGAGACAGUCUGAAAGCAGGAACCAUCAGAAGUCAUCCUUAGUGCCCAUAACAUAGUACCCCUCACCAGGACACUGCUCUGUCUGACACUGAAGUAUUGGCAGGGUCGGGCAAGGUGCCAACAAGUGGGUUUUGUCUAUCCCUAAAUGAUGACUGCUUGAGAUCUCACCUGCUCUGCCUUCCUUCCUGAGAUUCCAAGAGAAAUUGCUUGGAAGUGUAUUAAAUGCAAACUAAGUCAGAUGUAAGCCAUGGUGUUUUUCUGUUUGAUCUGUUAAGAGGUAAUUUGGAGACUACUUCUGCAUACUUGUUGAACAGAGACAGAGUGGCUUUGGUAAUUCAUCAUAAUUGAGUAAGUGACUUAACUUCCACAGAAAGCAGAGGAUAAUUUGGGAAGUCACUGGCUUUGGAAUGCUGUAUGUUCAUGUACUUUAUGGGUGUGCCCAUAUCAUUUGUGUGGGUAUAAAUGUCAAUGAGUUUGUGUGUGUGUAUGUGUGUGCAUGCGUACUCAUGUAUACGGGUGUGUGUGUGUGUGUGUGUGUUCCUGUCACACUUCCUGCCAGAGUUCAAAUUUGAAUGUCCGCUGAAAACCAUGUGUUAAAAACUUGGUCCUCAGCCUGAUGCUACCGGAAGAUGCAUCUAGAAGUUCCUUCAGUAGGUGAGGUGUAGUGGGGCACGCUCUAGAAGAGGAAGGGGGAAAUGGGUACAUUUCUCUUUUUGUCUUUUCCAUAAGGUGAGUGGACUUCUUUGGAUAAGCACUCCUGCCAUGCUGUUCUGUGUCACAGUCACAAGACAAGGAAGCCAAUCAGUACCAGACUGAAACCCCCCAAACUGUGAGCCCUCCUUCAGACUGACUUGCCAGCACUCUUCUUAAAGCAGAAAGCUGACUAGCACACCCACCAACCUUCUAUGAACGAGAUUUGAGCUCUGUUCUACUAAUCUUAAUGCAUUCUAUAAUUACAUAGGGAAGUAAGGAUAUUUGGAAGUAGACCAGAGUGUAUCUUGGUUCCGCCUUUAUUAACUGCCAUGCCUUGGACAAGUCACUUCACCUCUCUGGGCACUGAUUUCUCAUUUCUAAAAAUAGGGAUAAUAACAGUCCUGACUUGAUGGCACUCCUACAGGCUAGGAGGUUUCUGAGGGCAGGAACUAUGUUUAUAUACUGUUCUGUCCUCAGCCAGAAUGAGGUUUGAGCUGAGUGUGGCCUUGGAACUUAAGGUAAUACUUCUAUUCUGAAUCCAAUAUUUCCCAAUUGGCUGAGCAGCCUUGGAGAAAUUACCUAAUGUUCCUGAGCCUCAGAUUUCAUACCUAUGGAAUAGAGAUUUUUUAUUCCUCCUUGAAAUGAUUGCUGUGUGGUAAGGUGAGACCUACAAAGGCUUGUGUGGCAGAUGGUUAGCACAUAGGAGGCAGCUGGCAAAGCUUGCUUCUCUCAAAGUCUAGUCUCUGUCCUAGAGUGUUACCUUCACCAACAGGUAUUGAAUUUCCACUUGAUCUGAAAAUCUCGUAUUUGGAUCUUCACCACCACACCCGUCUUUCCCAUUUCUUUCUUUCCUUUCCUUUCCCUGUGUUGCCCUCUCAUUCGGCUCUGCUGUGACUGAGUUCCUCUGGACCAACAGUAGGCCCUGGAUGCUCAGCCCUCUCACUAGCCUCGCCUCCCUCAACCUCUCCUUCCACAACCCUGGGCAGAUCUUGUUCUCAUGGACUGCUUCCAGCACAGGCUACUGCCUCAGCUCUGGCCUAACUGGCUGUGUGAGCCUUCUGGUAAACUCUGGCUUUACUAUGGCAGAACAGUAGAGACAGAAAGAGGGACCUCAAAACAAACACAAGAAACUGGUUAACCCAAAAAGACGGAAUGCGCUUCUCUAACAAAUGGAACACGCACAAGAAAUGGGUUUGCAUACAUGUACCUGCUCUUUGGAGUAUAUGCUCACUGCCAACCCCUUAUUCCUCUCUUUUCUCUCCCCCAUCUCUCGCUCUUGGUUUUUUAUCUUUUUGGCUUUUCGAGACAGGGUUUCUUUAUAUGGUCCUGGCUGUCCAGGAAUUUGCUAUAUACAAGUUGGCCUUGUAUACGAAGGAUGGCCUUGAACAGAGAUCUGCCUGUCUCUGCCUCCCCAGUUGCUGGAGUUAAAGGCAUGUGCCGGCACCCCUGGCCUCUUGAUAGACUGUCCUUAUUUCUGUUUCUAAUCAUGUGACCCAUGCCCAAUUCUUUGCCACAGGACACAAGAACCUAGAUAUGGAUUCAAAUCCCUGCCUCUCACAGCAUCCCUAGUGCCAGCUCACUCUGGGUGGUAGCAACCACCAAUGGCUCCUGGCUGUGAUGGGAUAUUUCCAGAACUUUCUUGGUUUGAGGCUUUACACCUGUCAUCUCUCUUCCUUCUGAGGAUCUGCUGACUGGCACUCUUACUUCCUCAGGCCUCAGCUUACAGGCUGCCUCCUCAGAAAGCCCCCCUCCAUGGCUUAUGCAAAAUAAUACCACAAUUGCUCCUGAUCCCCUCCAUUUCGGCUUCCUUCUUCUCACCUGUAAGUGAUCCAGUAUGAAUUCAUUCAUUCAUUCAUUCAUUCACUCUAUUUUCAGUGACAGGGACUGAAGCCACAUUCUCAAUGUGUGCUAAGUCUGUGUUCUUAAUUUAUUCUUAAUUGUUUCUCUCCCUUAGGUAGCUUGUGAGCAUAUAAAAACAGGUUGUGUGAGCCUUCUGCAGACCAUGACACAUAGUAGGUGCUUAGACAAAACACACCAUGGUUUGAAUGUGUGUGACCACUUAUGAAAUAGUAGGGAGGGGCCUACAGGAUGUGUUAGGCAAUUCCAGGCCUAUAUGGUCCACUGGGCAAAUGACAAGGCCUUAAUGAAGUCAGGUCCCCCUAAAGGCUUCUGUGGAAGUCCUACUGUGUGCACAAUAGGUUCAGGAGCAGGGUCGUGGCAUCAACACAAUGAAAAGCACAGUUCCUGCUGGCUUUUGUGCUCUGUGGCUCCUAUAACAAUUACAAGCUUGGUAGCUUAAAUAGUAAAAAUUUAUUUUCUCACAAUUACUAGACACCAGGACAUCUGAAACUAAGGUGUUAGUUAGCAGGGCUGAGCUCCUUUGGUGGCCUCUCCCCUGUGGAGAGUUGUUUCACUUUCAGCAGCAUAACUUUGAAAGUGUUUUCACUGUGUCUCUCUGUAUCCCAAAUCUCUUUCUUUCUCUGAUAAGAACACACGGUUGAAUAGAAAGCUUGUUCUGAACCUCAAGUGAUCUCUCUUUGAAACCCUUCCUGCUCCAAAGACCCCACUUCCAAAUUAGGUCCCCUUCAUAAGGACUGGAGCUGAGGACCUGGCUGUAUUGUUUAACUCACCACGGUGCCUUCCAGGAAUGUCUUGUCUGAGAGUGGGACAGGCACAGCUUAGCAAUCAGUGUCCCAAGCAAGAGUGAGACCAACCAUUAUGGCCUUAGGCAGAGAUUAUUCAGUAUAUUUUAGUCAAGAUUCAUGCGCAGAGACUUUGCUGGGGAGCAGAGAUGACAAAAUGUAGCCUCUGCCCUGGGAGAGUUCAUGGGAGAAACGGAAGUAAGUCUGCCAGUGGGCCCUGGAGAGGUGGAGGUCGGCCCUGAAGCCCUGGGAGAUGAACCGGGGAGAGGAGUAAUGAGAAGGGUCUGAGGGGAGGGGUUCAGAGAGCUUCUUGGAGGAGGUGUAUGAAACACCGAGGCUCCAAGACUGAGAGAAUAGGAACCAGCUAGGCCAGAAAGCAGGGAAGGAUGAAGGCACAGAGAGUAGUAAGACUGGAUACAUAGAGGUGGAAUGGGGACCCGAGAAAAGUGGCUGCUGCAUUCCCCUCCAGGUCGCACUGGGGAGCCACAGAAAGACCUAGAGAAGGAAAUGAUAUCCCUGGACCUGCAUAUUAAAAUAAAAAGAACAGAAAGCCUGCUGAGGAAAGUGAUUUUCUAGAGGUUUGAAAUUAUAUUUGUGAUUUUUUUUAGAAAGUUUAACCUAUGUACAGAAAAGUGCUCAAGUCACAGAAGUGCAACAGAAAAUGUCCUCACAGACAUACCCACAGGCCCACAGACCAGCCUGAGGAAGGAUAUUUCUCAGGAACAACUGCAAAUGAAGCGCCCCUGUAUGUGAGGACAGCCCUGGGGUUGGGGGAGCAGGGACUAAAAGCUACAAAUGCUAAAAGCUCUGCAGUACAGACCUGACCCAUAGGUCCUUCUCUUAAGCCUGUAAGAGAGUGUGUGGCCCAGGACUGGACUGAACUGGAGCUCCCAGCAUGGUCUGGGGUGGAGAGAUUGAGGAAGGACUCUGUGUGAGCAGGGCAGAUCACUGGACUCUGCUUUUCUUGGCCUCCACUUUCUCUUCAACAGUCUGACAAUAGAAUUACUGCCCUCCUUGUGAUCGGAGUCUAGGGGGCUGACUUGGGGAUGAAAUGAAAAUGUGUUUAUGGUUUAGGGGUAGGGCCCAACCCAGGACAGCAUGUAGGCAAAAGCAGUGGCCAGGAAUUGACUCCAGAUUCCUUGGGGCUGGAGCUCUCUCUAUACAAAAGAAGGAAGUUGGAGAAGACUUUUAAUUCUUUUCUAUUUUUUUUCUCCUUAGAUUGUCUUUUUAGAAUCUUAAAACCCUGAUUCUUUUGUCUAAUUGGGGGACUUGAAGCAGUCUGUGGGAAAUGAAUGGCAUAUUUGAUAAUUAGGUAUCCAGUGUUGGAUGCUCGUCCUAGUUACUGUGAUAAACACCGUGACCGAAAUCAACGGGGAGGAGAGGGGUUAUUUGGAUGUCAGGGCAGGGAUGCAAGGCAGGAACUGAAGGAAAGACCGUGGUGGAGGAGCGCUUCUUACUGGCUUACUUCCUCUAGAUGCUCAGCUACGUUUCUCAUAGAGUCCUGGCCCAGGGAUGACAAUACCCACAAUGGCUUGGACCCUCCCAUAUUAAUCAGAAAUGAAGAAAAUGUCCUCACAGAUAUGCCCGCAAGCCAGUCUAAUGAACGCUAUUCCUCAAGUGAGGUUCCUUCCCUCCUCCCAAGUGACUCUCUCCUCAACUUAACAAAAAACUAACCAACAUAGCACACCUUUACUGAGGCCUGUCAUGUGUGAGACCCGCCCUGCACAGCAGACCACUUGGGAAACUUCCAGGUUAGUAUAAUAUUGUUCCAAGGAAUCUCUUCAUGUCUGAUGGCUGAAGAACUUCCGGGGCCUCAGAGAGAGCAGCAGUAGCUCAGAGUCUACUGGCAGGCACAUUAAGGGCUAAAAUACUGCUUAGGUAAAUACACCACUGCAAGUACCUGUAGUCAGCUCUUAGUGGUCACCCUAGAGUGGGUAGCAGUUGGUUGGAGUCCAGGAAGAUUGUGGGAGCUCCAGCAAAGGGUAUGUGUAAUUGCCAAACCGUUCUGUUUGUUAAGACAUCUGUGGAUAGCAGGAUCUGUCCCUACCUGCCUGGUUCUCCGGGGAGGGGGAGGGGCAGUCAGUCACUAGAACAGAGAUGGUCUCACACACCAUGUUCUUUCCCAGGCUGGAGUAAGUACAGAUGCUAGACUCAAGGGGAGAAGAGUGGUCAGGGAACAGUGCCAGUGCUGGUUGGCAUCUGGGUCAAGCCCAGAAGACUCAUGGAAGUCUCGGAGUGCCAUCUGCAUCUCAUCAGAGGGGCUCUGGGUUGACUUGAGUAGUCAGGCAACUCUGGCAGGCACUGGCUUUAAGGCAUUGACUGAGUUGGAUUUGAGAGCCCUAGAUAGAAUAUCGGGCUAAACACUACAUUUUUCAGAACCAGUUUUUCACCUGCUAACAAUAUCACAAGUGUGGAGGUUUAUACAUAGGCAUAUAUGCUGUUUUUAGGUACUGUAAUUCUUACUAAAUAGUAUUUGUAACUUAUAUUAGGAUGGGGGGUGCCAGGGGCUGUGUCUGUGUACAUCAAUUCCUAGUAAAAUGACCAGCAACUUCUCAGACUCUUUAGGCUGGGACUAAUGAGGGGAAGUUUGGGUCAAGCUGGUAUGCCUGGCGCCUACAGCUGUGUCUCAAAUACUGAGGAAUAAACGAAUUCCACUACUUGGGUUUUCUUCAGGCCAAGCCCACUGAAAUAAAGAAGCUGAGGUUUCCAGAAAAGUCUGCUCCUCCGGUGUAGUUGGCUGGUUGACUGACGGUGGUCCAGUGAUAACGUUAUUGGCCUCUGGGUCGCUUUACACCCCGGUGGAUCUCUGAAACUGCUGUGGCCCCUUUCAUCCAGCCCACUUUCUUCGUGGGACUUAAAAUUGAGCACAGAUCAUGGAAGAUUUUCAUCAUGGUCCUGGGAGUUGGACUCCUAGUACCUGCUAUGGCUACAUUAGGGUCCACCUGGCUUAUUGGCUGGUAGCUAGUUCCCUUGGGAACCAGAACAAUCUUCCUGCACAUUGAGUAAUCUGCUUCCUUUCCCUGCCCGGGGCAAGAGUCGGCUCAGGGAAAGUGAAGAAACCAGUUUGGGGCAGCACUAGGGUGGGCGUGGGCUGGGCACUGCCAGGAACUCUGCGGCAAGACCAGUUUCCAUUGCUUCCGGACCGGAUGCAGGGCUGCGAUCCGGGCGGAGACCAGAGAAUUGCGCCCGUGAGCGCACCUGUAAGUCCUUCUGAACAGCAUUAGUCAGGGACGGUAGGAUGGGACCAGCGUUUCUGGGUCAGCAGACACUAGGGCGCAACUUCCGGUUACUAAAUCGGGCGAGUGGGUGGAGCCAGUAAGUUGUGGGCCGGUGGAUGGGCAGUUGAAUAACCCUGCCGCGGUGUGUGUAGCAGAGGGGGCGGGGACGGGGGGCGCGGGUGGUGGGGUAGGGGUGGUGGCGGAACCCAAAGGCACUGCCACCAGCACCUCUUCUGAGUAUAACCAUUGACUGGGUGGGGAAAAAACAGCGUUAAGUUUCGACUCGCCUGGCUUUUGUAUUCUUGGGCAAGUGACUUAGUUUAUAUGGCACCACGCUUUCUCAGAUGUAAAACGAACGAAUCAAUGAGAUAACAGCGCAGUAGUAGCCAUAGUAGUAGUAGGUGCUCAAUAAAACGAGGUUCCCUUCUAACAUGCCAGCACUCCCUGCCCUACAGUCCCGCCCACAGGCAGAACUAGGACGGAAGGUUUUGAGAGGCAGGUGGCCUGGCCUGGAGACGAUUCAAGAGCCAUUUUAGCCUCGGGUUGCCUGUCUAGCCAGCAGGAUGGGGCAUGAGGGCGGGUCCCUAAGGUCGAAUUUCGGUCGGGUUUCUGUGAUCCUGGUAGGGAGUUUCAGUGCAUUCUUUCACGUACUUACUCGUAGAUUCUUAUCAGGCUGCUGCCUUUUGCCUCCCCCAGUGGCCCUACAGCGUUUCAUCCAUACAAGGCCAGUUUCCACCCUUAGCUCUGUAUGUAAACAAAGCCAGGGCUUUUAGCGGCAGGUCCCCACAGGUCUAGCUCUCUGUGCCAGGUACGCUGGAGGUAGAGCCAAAGUCUGGCUCUGUGACCCCGGAACCCGCUCUGCUACCAAGUUCCCACUGGCCCAAACUUUUAGCCAAUAAUGUGGAUGAUAAUGUUGUUCUCAUUCUUCUACCCUGCGUGUUGUCAAGGACGCUGCAAAAGUACUAAGCUGGUGUAGGGAGUCUGGGUAAAAAAUGGUCUAGGAUGAGAUGGACCCUCUGAAGUGCCGUGGGUGUGUCAAAUGAGAAUUGAACCGUAGCAUAAGCCGCCGGCUGAUUCUCCGGAGACAGUCUAGUCCUCAAGUUACAAAUAUACCAUCUUAUUAAAAUAGUAACGAGGACUAUAGAACUCAGAAUGAUUUUAGCUGAAAAUAAGAGACAGCAAAGACAAUCCUGGCAGUUUCUACAUGUUCCUCCACUCCUUAAACAUACUUUGUUGCCCAGUCUGAGGCCUCAGCCACAUCCACUGAGAGGUGAGCAGAAAGAGAGAAGCAUUGAGAUUUCAGACUCUCUUCUCAGGUUCUUUGGUGCCCGGAGUGAGGGUAGGGGUGGGAGGACCCAGGACUGAGGACUCUGAGCAAGGACAACAGCUGAGGCUCAGUGCUAUGAGCUUUGCUGGUUCCAGAAAGUUCCCUUUGUGGGAACCUGCCUACUUCCUCCUCUCAGUCCUCCUCAGUAUAGUGUGUGUGUGUGUGUGUGUGUGUGUGUGUGUGUGUGUGUGUGUGUGUGUGUGUAUGUGGUGGGUGGUGGUGGUGGUGGAUGUCACUGCUCUUGGCUGGUUAAAUACGGUGAAGCCUAGAGUAACAGUCUUAUCCCCAGUCCCAGGGAGUGAGAUAGGGCCUGCCUGCAUUUCAGCCUCCUUAGGACAGUCACCAAUUCUAUGGUCUUGAGAACAUGACUUAAUUUCCCUCAGUCUUAAUUUCUGAAGCCUUAAACUGGGGGUUGGCAACAUUUACCUCAUAUAAUUGUUUUGAAAACUGAAUGCAUACACAUCUAUAAAGCCUAGGACGUUUAAAAAACAAUUAAUUAAUGGAGUGUUCCGUUUCGCUUGUUAUUGUUAGGCAGGUCUAAGUAGGGCUCUCAGGCCAAUUAAGAACCGGAUGACCCUGCCAGGUGCACUUUCUUCAGACACUGGGUGGUGGUGAGACAGGGUGAGCUGUGGUGUCUGGCAGGUUCACCAGCUAUGUGCACAGGCUGGAAAGCAUUGGCCAGCACCGUCUUAGCUCUUUCCACCCAACCAGUUUAUUUAAUUCUACAAUUACACUAGGAGACAGGUCUUACUAGUAUUCUAUUUCACUAGGGGGAAAUUGAGGCAUGGAGCAGUUAUGUGACUUGUGUAAAUGCCACAUAGCUACAAAGUAGGAGAAUAUCCUGGUGCCCAGAGGCUGAGAGGAGCUAUGCAAGGAGAUGGGGUUGCAGUAGUGGCCUGAUGCAUGGCCACCUCCUCAGUAAGCCCAGGGACUUCUUUCUUCGUAUAGAGGUUUCAGGAAGCCUCACACUUUAACACACUCUACAUAAGGCACCUUGCGCACAGUAGGUGCUUAGUGGUGCUAGCCUCUCCACCUGUAUAUUUUGGUUACUUGGGGAAUAAUUGUGUCUCUACUGCUGUGCCUCAUGGAAUCCGAUGGAUGGGUCUGGCUCAUGCUCAGGUUCUGGCCUUUCGUACUAACUGCCUCUAAGAGAUGGACGCAUUCUCCCUCCCUUUCCCUCUCUCUUUGGAGUCCUGUUCUAAUCCUCGUGGCCAGAGCUCUGAAGCAUAGACUGUGGGCUGUCCGGCAGUGCAAACAGAAGCACUCCUCGAUGUUUGUCGCAUAAAUGUUCGAUCAUCUCAAGGUCGGCUUUUCCAUUUGACGUUUCCAGUUAGAUGCAGGAAGUCAGGGUUGGGAAAGCAGAAUGGAUAAGAUUUUUCAGGAUAAUUUUUAAAGAGCUUUAAUGUUUAAAAGAUUUUUAAGCUAGGAGGGGUUCUUAACAACACACUGUAAGCUCCCAUCAUUCACGGAGACUGCAUUCUGAGGGUCAAACCAUCUUUGCAUCUCCUUAUAAACUUGAUCAGAUAUGGGGCGGGAGUAGGUAGAAUGCCAGCCCGUUCAAUGCCGAGGGGUAUUUGUCCAGCUUUGUAUGUCGGGAACUGCCAUGUUCCAGGAGUUUGCUCAUUUGAAAUAAGCCCACGAGCCUGUGACACCAUGUGCUGUGAAGGAGGGGUCUGAUCCUACAUCCACUCCAAGACUUUGUUCACUCUGCACAGGGACAAAAUGCAAAGUCUGAGCUGCAGUUGGGGAGCAGCAGCAGCUUGCAAGUCUCCCAGCAUCUCCCUGCUCUUCCUGAGUUGCAGACCUCCGAACUGAAGGUUCAGAAGAGAUUUCAAGAUCACCUCAGCCAAGGUUUCUCAGUCACUUGUUUACCCAAGUUGCCCUAGAUAAAUGCCUCACAGCCACUUUUAAUGACCUUCAAACUCCAAAUAAAUGUCAUGACUUAAGCAAGCAGAAGCAGAGGCCUGCGGUUUCAGUGCUUUCUCUUCAAACACCAGCCCCCUCAGAGCUUCUGUGCGACAUCUUCCCCCCAUCCUUGCCAAUAGCAGCCCAAGGGAGAGGGAGGGUGCUUCUUUCCAUCUUCUUCUCUGUGCUUUGUUUCUUAGGAGGCGAGGCCCAGAGAGGUUGGAAUUGGUGACACAAUCGGUUUUUGGACUUGGGUUUGUCCAACACCUCCAGGGAUGCCUUUGCCAUCACUUCUGUUUUCGUCCCAACUGGUCUCUCUUAUGUGUGCUCUCCUAGCACAGGGACCACACACAGGAAUCUGCCUUUGUCACCUCUCUGUCCCAGAAUUCCUCAUCCUUCCAUGCCUCAGUACAGGUUGCUCCUCUGCUUGGAGCCUUCUCUCCCUCCUCCCCGGGUUUAUUAGUUAGCUAGAUUCACCGGAAAACUUCCCGGCUCUACUGCAUCCAGAUGGAGACGACUGGUCUUCUGCUUGUGUAGGGCCGUCUCUCAAACGCUAACGCUUCCAGUGUUGUUUACAAAUCUCUCUUAAUUGCUUAUGACCUCCGUAGGCAUCUUGACAUGCACAUGUAUUACCCGUGCCACCCCCUCCAAACCACCCCCUCCACACCGCAUCACAUCUCCUAAUACACACACUCCAUGUCCCAUUACUUCUCUACAUCCCCCAACACCACACAUAUAAAACAUACACACACACACACACACACACACACACACACACACACACCACACCACGUAAGUCACCCAUUCCUAUACAUCCUACAGCACAUAUACCACACAUCCCUGCACACUUCCACAUGCUGCCCCUGGCUUAUCAUUUGGUUUUACUUUUCCAUUUUUCUUUUGUUUGUGGAGAUAGGGUCUUUCCGGGUAGUUCUGGCCAGCCUCAAAUGUGCUGUGUAGCUCAUGGCGUCCUCAAAACUUGACUUCCUAUUGUCUCAGCCUCCAGAGUGGGCUACUGCACAUAGCCAGUAACUUACUUUAAUUUUUUUUAGUCGUCACCGAGGCUAUAUCUUCUUAAGGGCAGCUGUCCUGCGUUGGAGCAAUAGAGGGUGACUGCUGGCUUUUGAGGUUGACUGCAGAUCUCCCAGGCUCCUAGCAUCCUUCCUGGUAAUCCUCCAGAGAGCUUUUAUCUGAUAACUAAGUGCAGGGGAAUGUAAGUUUUCUUCCUUCAUUCUUAGUUUAUUAUCAAGAGUAGACACAGUCCCUUACAAUCAUUUAGGGUUUAGGAGUAAAACAGACAAACUAUCUUCUUUUGUAAAGUUUACUUUCUCUUGGAGGAGAACAGUAGGUCAAUAAGGACCAUGUGUGGCAGUUCAGAUAAUCAUGCACAGAACCAAGAAGACUCUGACAAGAUGGCUACCUCGAGGGAUCAUUUACAUGAGGAACUCAGGACAGGCCCUCUGAGAGAGUGCCACUUGCCCUGGAUGCAGUUGAGGUGAAGUGGGAUAAAGACUUGGAGGACAUGCAUUUGAAGUAGAUAGAACGGCAGGUGUGUAGGCCAUGGACUGGGAACACACUGGGCACGGGGCAGCAGCGGAAUGGAUGAAGUGUUCACACAGGCAGGAUCAGUCACAGACACUGGUGAUUUGGGGCGGGUCAGUGUCAACACAGAGGUCCUGCUAUAGACUUCUGAAUGUCAUGGUAGAGUAAGUCCCCUACUAUAGACUCAGGGAGACAAGACACCUGUUGGUCUUCAAGAACAGCAGCUGGCAGCAGCUACUGAAGAUAUCCCACAAUGUCCUCUACUCCAAAGAGAGCCCCAGGCUCAGCAGGUAAAUGUGCCUGACACUAAGCCUGCUGACCUGAGUUUAAUCCCCAGAUCCUACAUGGAGGAAGGAGAGAGCCAACUCUGAUCAGUUCUUCUCUGGUCUCCACACAGGUGGUAUGGCAUAUGUGCCCUCCCCCCAUCAAAAUGGCUGUAAUUAGAAAGAAAAAUGAAGUAUAUUUUAAGAAAGCGAAUCCCCAUAAAAUCUGGGUGGAAAUGACAUCUGAAAGGCUCAGACCAAUCAAGGGGCCACUCUGGAAGUUUACGUGUCUCUGACUAUGGAAAGUCAGUAACUAUUGUUACACUGUCAUGGGUAUGGGGCCCUGGACAGGAAGGAGACAGUCAGGGUCUCGGCCUCUACUAGCUUGCUGCCUCUUGCCUUUGAGAGAGGAUAUCUAUGCCCCGAAAAGGAUAGGUUAGCAGUAUGAAGUCAGGAAGACCUAGGUUCUCCCUCCCUCAUUCCCUCUCUCCCUCCCUCCUCCCUCCCCUCUCCUUCCUUCCCUUCCUUCUACUUCCUUUCCUCUUUCCCUCUCUGCAUACCUCUGCAAAGCUAGUCAAGCUUCCAUGUGUUACUUCACUGCACUGAGCCUCAUGCCUCUCCUAGACCCAGAAGCAGAUGAACUUUGCCUUGUCUCUCUGGGACUCUGAUACUUUUUCAUCCCUGAAGCAAUGACCAUGAGAACAAGUUUGGUUUUUGUUUGUUAGUUAGUUAGUUUGUUGUUGUUGUUUUUUCAGAAUUCUCACCAAUUAACCAGACAAUGCAUACAUGCUAUUCCUGCUUUAUAAGUCACUCACUUUUGCUUGCUUCAUCCUGGUGCAUCCAGGGUCCUGGGUGUGGAAUGCUGCAGAGGAGCAAUUGUAUAGCUUUUUAAAGAAUUGGUGGAAUACUCCAAGUUAGAGCAUGGGGAGAGGGUAUAACCUGAGGCCGGGUUGUUGUUUGUUUUUUGUUUUUAAAGAUGUGAUAAGUUAGAUGCUCGCACCUAGAAUCCGAGUACACUAGAAGCUAAGGAAGAAGGAUAGACACUCAAGGUCAGACCGGGCUACAUAGUGAGACCCUGUCUCAAACAACAACCAAAAGAAGCUAUGUGGAGGUAGAGCUAACUAUUCACUCUUUAUUGGCCAAGUGAACCAAGAGUCUGGGAAAGUUGUACAUACUCUCCCUUCCUUCUUUCUUCCUGUGUAUGUAGUCCAGGCUGGCCUCCUGUGUAUCUCAUUAUGUAGCCCAGGCUGGCCUCAAACUUGAGCCACCCCUGCCACUGUCUCCUAAGUGCUGAGAUUUUAUCAUGAAGCACUACAACAAGUGAGAAUUGUGUUUUAAUAGGAAGAUUUGGUGGGAGCCAUGGUGGGGAAUCAGGGCCGCUGGAGGGGGUUGACUCUCAGUGGCAGGCCACUUCUAGGUGUUUGGUAGCCCUGUUUAAGUUUGAUACUAAGAGGAUAAGAGAAUGCUUGCCCAUUCCCCUAUACUAGAGAGGACUCUGGGUGCUCCGUUUGAGGCCUGAGUAUAGUCCUCCUUUCUUGUGUUCCCCCUCAUCCUCUCUGAAUUCUGCUUCUUUAUCUGUGAAGCAGAGGUCCAUGAUUCCCUCCUCGGGUUGUGCCCUAGCGACUCUGACUCUGGACACUUGCACCUGUUUGUUAUGUGAGCCCCAGGAGUGCAGGUGACAAAGCCACAGGGGCCUACAACUAACUAGCGUGACUUCAGUUAACCACUGUCACCUCACUAAAGCACCCACUUUUUAUCUGGAAGUGGAGAUAAGCCUGCCUCUCAGGGAUGAGAGUCAUCUUAAAGAGUGCUAAGAGAGGGCUAUGAUAAUACUGUCUUCUUCCUUGUCUCUUGGUAGUUAGUCUAUCUCUUCUCCCCUAGACACCCCUGGGGUUCCUCUGGGUGCCUACUGGGGUGCUGGGUGCCACGAUGCUGUUUCUCAGCAACACUCCCACCCUUCCUAGUAGCCUGCAGGCUCACAUGUCUGCAUUCUCAUUGGAAAUGCCCUAGCACAAGAAAGCACUCAGGGCCACGGAAGCUCAGGCCUGUGUGAGCAAUCUCACAUCUCCAGUCAGCUUUUGCAGGGUUCCCAGAACGGCAUGUCCACUCAGAACCUGGGGCUGGCGCAGCUACACAUCCUUUUCAGGAGAGCACAGCCUCGAGGCAGCAGGAACUCAGGGUGACUCAGCUUCACAUGUGACAAACAGCCUGUGAAGUAAAACAGACCAGAGCUCCAGCACGGCUGCCUUCAGACUUUGGGGAAGGAAGUGGGAGGCACGAGAGGUAAUGGACAGCGUUGAACUCACACGUCACCUCAGGAGGCUAAUAGAUACCAAAUGCAUGCUCUGCUGAAGCCUUACCACAGCCACCUGAGUGUGUGAUGGUCUGAGAGGUCAGGCCUCUCACAGGGGAUCAUAGUCAGUAGAUCAGGGAUCUGAGCAGAGCCAUCUGACGUAGACACCCUCGUUCUUCCCUAACAACAUAUCAGGAAAAAAAAGUCUUUUCCCCCAACCCCACUUCCUGUGGCACUUCAGAGUUCCCUGUGUGUAGUUAAAAAAAAAAAAAAGAAAGAAAAAAGAAAAGAAAAGAAAAAAAGGUAAAAUAAAAGACUGACCCAUUGAAUUUUAUUUUUCAAAGUUUGCAUCAAAUAAUGUUCCUAGGUCCUUUUACCAUUUACACCCAGGGCUGUCUUUCCCCUCACAUCCUUGGUUUAUGAUAGCCAGGGAGUGCACAGCGAGUGCUGGGGCAGGAGCCUGUGGAGUGGGUGCCACCAUUAUAGGGCUGUGGAAGGGCGAGUAGCAGAAUCACUUCCAUGGCUCUGUCCAGCACUAAAAUCAAAGCCACAACCAACCCUGCUUUGGGGUUCAGGGGUUGGGAACACCACUCUCAGGGAACACUCAGAGGAGGUGUGGCCUGGCAGGAAGCAUUAGGCUAUGCCAAACAGGAAAGGGGAGGGCAGGCCAGGGAGGGACUGAAACGUCACCAGGAUGCGUGCCAAAGUUGGGUGGGCCUAAAUACUAGGGCAGAGCUGCUGGGCACAUGACUCUGUUGAAAAUCUCCCAGGGAAUAACCUCUAAUCCCUGCCUUUUUGAAAGGUUUGGGGAAGGCUCCAAUCUGCCGUCUGCCGGUCUGGGAUAUGGGGGGAAUCCUAUGCUGGCACAUAGCCACAGGGACAUUUCUCAGGGAAAGCCUUUGGCCCAGUAAGUCUGUUUUCUCUUUUCUUUGGAGACUAGGAUUUCGAACGUGUUCAGGAAAAAUGUAACAUACAAACAAACAGCCUUGGCCAUCUGUGUCUCCCCCUUGGAGCCAGGGCAAGCCUGGGGAAAUGGGGGUACUUAGCCUCCCUGGGCUCUCUAACUGUAGGCCAUCCCUUUGUAGCCAGUCUCUGGAUGGAUUAGUUGCUUUUGCACAAUGUUAUUCCAGGUGAUUUCAAUGUAAAGCACUCUUUCCUUUUUCUGUGGGUCAGAACCCCUGGUUUACUUUUUAAGCUAUAGUCAAAAUGUCUGCCAGCCCUUAACUUCUGCCUGUGAGCUUAGCAGUUGGUGUUUCAUGUUACUCUCUGCAUAGCAAAGUGUUCGGGACAGAACCUGGUGCACAGCAAUGCUCAGUGGAGGAUGCCUAAGGUCCCUAUGAAUUACCUUAAUUCUGUUGUGUGCUCAUGGCAGAUAGGGUUUGUCUUGUGCAUUGCAGACACUGCAUGAGAAGUCUGUGGGCUUCAGGAGGGUAGGGACUGUGUGUUUACUCUGCAGUGUCUCCAAGCACAUGCCUAUCCAAAGGGAAUUCCAAGGGUGGCAAUCUGGUCACUCAAGCUGGUGAGCCAGUGCAGUGACUUAUGUCUAGAAUUCCAAAAUCAGUUCGGAGUCACUGUAGGCUAAAGAAUAGAGAAUCAGGGCAGAGUGUAGAUCUUGGCUUGCUUCUUCUUCAACUGUCUACUACCUUUAUGACCUUGGAAAGAUUGAUCUUUUUGAACCCUAAAUACCUAUUUUCCAAAGAACAAAGAUCAUAGCGUCUGCUUGUCUGUUUCACAGGUUUGUUGUGGGCACCAGUGAGCGUGCACAGACGGUGUGCCAGUUGUGGGAAUCCUCCUGGCGUCCCUGGCCAUUGCCACUGCUGUGAUUUAGAGUGAAAUGUCUCUUAUUGGCUCCUGGGUUGGCACUUGUUUUCCAGCUGGUGGUGCUGUUUGGAAAGGUCAUGGAACCUUGAGGAGGUCUUGUUGGGGUAGGUAGUCACAAGGGUGAGACUUGAGGGUAGAUAGCCUGGUCACACUUCCUGCCUGCUCUCUGGAUCUUGAUGGUAGAUCAGUGUGACUAGCCGCCACAUGCUGCAGUUGCCCUGUCUUCCCUUCUGUGGCUGACUGAAUUCUUUCUUCCACUGUGACCAAGAAGAAACCAUUCCUUCUUUAAAUUGCUAUUGCCACAGCCAUUUGAAGAGUAAAUCAAACAUACAACUGCCACAUUUGCCAGAAUGCAACCUGUGGAUGCUGUCAUGGGUGGAUAGCAGCCACUACAUGUGCUCCAAAUGCAUAUUCUUUAAGUUUUGGAAUAGUGUUUCUCUUCUAAUCGUACAUGUUAAGUAAUGACUUUAACCUUUGAAAGCUUCUUUUGACUGGGCCACUUUCCAGCUUUAAAAUGUUGACCUUACAUUUCAGAGUACAGUUCAUAGGUGUCCUGUAAAAGGGAGAAUCAAACACUCACAGUAUUUGCUGUUUGUUGUCAUGUGAUCAAAGAGGGGAGAAGCCAGGGGCUAUCUGAAGGUAUAGAAAAAAGUGUAAGUCACAGCCCUAACUCUGGAAGAAUUCACAGUAUGGUUUGUUAGCCAGAGCUGAAUGCUUGACUUGUAGGCAAAGCACAUUUUAUAUAUAUAUAAAAGGUGGUUUGUGAAGACUUUACAGAGAAAUGGGCUUUGUUUGGGGUUUCUAUUUCUGCGAAAAGACACCAUGAUCCCCCACUUCCCAGCUCUUAGAAAGGAAAACAUUUGAUUGGGGCUGGCUUACAAUUUCAGAGGUUCAGUUCAGUAUCAUCAUGACAAGUAGUGUGGCGGCGUGCAGGCAGGCAUGGUGCCGGAGAAGGAGCUGAGCGGUCUACAUCUGGAUCUGCAUAUAGCACCAAGUAAAAAGACUGAGCCACUAGGCCUUUCUUGAGCAUCUGAGACCUCAAAGCCUGCCCCCACAGUGACAUACUUCUCUGACAAAGCCACACCUGUUCCAGGAAAGCCAUACCUCCUAGUAGUGCCACUCCCUAUGGGCCACGCUUUAGAACACGUGAGUCUACAGGGGACAUUCCUCUUGAAAUCACCACAGUAUUCAGCCUUACAAAAGACUGAUGCUUACUCUGUAAUCCCGAGAACGUAAUUCAAAAGCCAGGUCAGUGCCACUGGACACUGCUAACAGAGAUAUGGGUAGGAUUACGGUUUUUCUUUUUAUUUCUGAGCAUAAAACAUUCAAACAUUUUAGUAAUGUACCCAUUUUAAAAUGUCCGAAUUUUCAAAGCUGCUGACAUUCUGGGGUUGCUGCUUUCAUGAUGAGAACAUGAAAUAUAUAUUUUUCAUCAGACAUGGUAUUCUUUACCUAAAAGAUGUUACAGAGAAAGCUGUUUACAGAAAGCGUUCAUUUUUGUAGCUUCCACAUUAUGAUAGCAAGUGACAAAUCAGCUAGGCCAGGGUACAGUGUGAGGCAGUAUACUUCAGUAACCCAACAAAGAAAACUUUAAAAACCACUUAGUAAACUGAAAAUGAAGCUGUCGUGUAUAAUAGCAGUCUACAGGGACAGUCAUAGUCAAAAGUCAAUCAUAGUCUGCACGUUUAUGUCGAAGAAUUAGAAUGAACGAGAAACAGGCAAUUGAAUAUCUAACCAAGGAAUGUAGAGAUUGAGAUGCAAAAUAAAACUAAGACAAGCAGAGAAACAAACCUAAAAUAUGUAAAGGGUUAAAAAGCUAAUUAGAAAACAAACAAAAUUAUAGAUUUUUAUAGGUUAAAAAAAAACAGUAGAACCCUCUAGAAAACUUGUUGGACAAGAGAGAUAGAGAUAGAGGGGGAGACGGAGGGAAAGAGAGAGGGAAGGAGGGAGGAGAGGGAGAGGGAGGAAGGGAGGGGGAGAGAGAGAGAGAGAGAGAGAGAGAGAGAGAGAGGGAGAGAGAGAGAAGAGAGCACAAGAGAGCGAGAGAGCGAGAGAGCAUUAGAUUACUGGUAACUGAGAAGUUUGUAAAUUGCCUGUCUCUUACCUCUCUUAGUCACUGAACAAACCCCAUGUGCCACACAUUUGUGUUUCCAGUUUUUCUAAUGAUCAAACUGAGGAUCCAAAAACCUAGUUGACUUUGGGAUGCCAUACAACCAGUGGUAAAGACUAAGGAGAAGGCAUCCUUGUUCCCAAGCAGGUUGUGAGGGUUGCUGGGGUUCCUCGUCAGCCCUCAGCAUGUCGUGCGUGUCCGCCUUCAUCAUUACACAGUAUCGUCUGUGGUAAUCCAUCCUCACCCACGGGUCUCUCUGGGAGUGUCUGCAGAGAGGUUUGGCUGAGGAAGGAAGACCCACCCUGCCAUGGUGGCGUCCUUUGGAUUGGGUCCUGGACUGAAGAACAGCAAAAAAGACCUACACACAAGCGUUGGUUACUGUGCUUCCUCCCUGCAGAAGGCAUGGCUAGACAGCGUGUACUCUCACUCCUGUGCCAUUCCCACCUUGAUGGACGAAUCUCUUCUUAAACUGACCCCAAGUCUUCCUUACACUGCGUUUGUCAGGUAUUCUGCCCAGCGACGGGAGAGGUCACUUAAGAUACUCCCAUGUGUCCUCAUGUUAUCUUUCCACUCUGCAUUGAUCUCUGUUUUCUCCACUUCCAAGAUGGAUUAGUGUCCUGAUACUGGAGAAACUUAAGUUUUUCAGUUACAUCUGGUAUUAACUAUUUAUGUAAUGUUGUAUUAUGUAUUUAAUCUCAAUCUGCCAUUUCUACCUCUCCUUAGAUCAUUCAGUUCCCAGAUAAAAAACACAAAACUUUCAUAUUUAUAAUCAGCCUUAAUCAGCUCUGGAGCUGGGCAAAUGCCUGUCCUCCAAGCCUUCAUGUCUACGUCUAUGUCCAUAACCCCAAGGGAUCACUUGCCAUGUUCCUUGACUCUUCCAUGCUGCUCUUGACUCCAAUUGGCCAGUUCUAUGUCCAUGUUUUCAUGAUUCAUCUACCUCACGGCAUUUUCUCUUCUUUCCACCUUCUCUCUCUUUUUUCCUCUUUGUGGCUUCUCCUCAGACUCCAAGCCCAGGAACUGAAACCCCACCAUUCUCUCUGCUGCUCAGCUGUAGGCUGUUGGUAUCUUCGUCCAACAAAUAGUUUUAAAUUAAGGAGGAAGAUCACAUAGUAUUACUUAGAGUAUGUGCAGAUUUUCUCCUCCCUGAAGCACACGGGUCAGUAUUAGGCAUUAUAGUACAUAACAACAGACCAUACAUCAACAGUCUAAUACUAUAUUUUGAGCUCCACGUGGAUAUAAAAUUUAGAGAGUUGAGACUUUAGCCCAAGUUAAAUGAAAAUAAAUAUAUUUACUACUUGUAGUUUUAACGAUCUUCAUUCUGUAUCCAUCUAGUAAAUCUGUGGAUAGUGCUUAAAGUGGCCACCACACACACACACACACACACACACACACACACACACACACACAAGACCACUGCCCAUAUAAUUAGGAGUUUACUCAAGAAACACGAGGCAGUGGGGAUUAGUUUUAUACUUCUGUUCCAAUCAGGCACUUUACAAGGGAGGUAGAGUAGAACCGAGGACAGUGGCCAAUAUCCCCAAAUCUUAUUACCCUCGUUACAAUGGAAGAAAGUCUUAGAAAAUCUGAAGAGGGCAAGAGGAAAGGUAUGUGAAAGGUACUUGAAGGGCCACCAGCUCUAUGAGUCUGGGUUUGGCCGUGUCCCUAGUUAGAACACAACCAAUUGGUAGAAACUAUGGUGAAUUUGUUUGUUUAUAUUGGGGGUGGGGAGGAAUGGGGUGUACUGUUCAUUUAACCCAGGUUCUUACAUGUGCUAGGCAGGCACUGCACCAUUGAGCUUCAUUUGCAGGUUCAGAGGAUUCUAGUUCAACUAUGUUAGUGGAAGAGCCUUAAUAACUAGAAAUAUCUAAAGGCAUUAGCUGCUGCUGAAUUUUACUACUUGCUAACCAUACCAAACUAAGACCAGGCAAACUGAUGAGUUGGCCACCCUUGUUUAUGGAGUUUUAGGCUAAAUUAAAAAAAUUAUUUAUUUAUUUAUUUAUUUAUUUAUUUAUUUAUUUAUUUAUUUCAGAGCUGAGGACCAGCAAGCGGUCUACCACUGAACUAAAUCCCCAACCCCUAAAAAUUUUAUUUUUAAUUUCUGCACAUUUAUGUAUAUGUACGUUUUGCCUGCAUGUACGAGCCUCACAUGUGUGUCUGAGGGGCCAGAAAAGGGUAUUGAAUCCCCUGGAGUUAAGAAUGGUUGUGAACCGCCAUGUGGGUGCUGGGGAUUGAACCUAGGUUUUCUGCAGGAGUAGACAGUGUGCUUAACCAAUGAUCCAUCUCACCAACCUCUGGUUUAAAAAAGAAAGGAAGAAAGACGUAAAAGUAAUUGUGGCAGCAGUAGUAACAGUUGUGGGAGUAGAAGGAGAGACAAAUACCAUCUCUAAGGAGAAUCCUAGGCCUGGGGAUGUGGCUCAGUGGUAGAGCACUCAACAAGCAUGCUCAGGGUCCUGGGUUCAAUCACCAAUUUGAACAAACAAAUGAACAUGGGCCUGGUGGCACACACAAGUAUCUGAGAGGGUGAGGCAGGAGGAUUGUAAUAAGUUCAGGUCCAGUCAGAGCUACAAAAUAAGUUCAAACAAAGACUUGAUACGAAGGAAGAUCUUAAGAAACAAAAACUAAAUGCAUAAAUAAUUUAAGAGGGUGUAAGGUGUCCCUGACAGCCCUCUAAGAAGCUUUUUAGGUGUCUGCCCUGCUUAGUUAGCAAUGUAUUCGAAGCACCCAGUGUUGGCAUUGGUCAAACACGAGCUGAUCAAUGUCAAAGGCUCUUAUGCUGAGACUCGAGGCUAUGAAGCACUUUGAUCGUAGGAGAAAAAAGUAUAUGAGGGCAAGAUGGUAAAAAUAGAGAACCUGGGUGCAGCGACUGGUGAGUACAAUGUCUGGUGUGCUCUAGCCUUUUCCUGUGGCUACUAAUAUAUUUCUGGGGAGGCCCUUGAAACAAUAAGUCUCUUAUAUUUUAUGUAUUCUUUCUUUUUUUUUUUCUUUUUUUUUUUUCGGAGCUGGGGACCGAACCCAGGGCCUUGUGCUUGCUAGGCAAGCGCUCUACCACUGAGCUAAAUCCCCAACCCUUAUGUAUUCUUUUUUCCAUCUUCCUUCCUUUCCUUCCAUUUUCUCUGUUGAAAAAGACAACGCUCUCUUAGAAAGGAUAUCAUUAGAUAUUCUUUCAGGCCAAGCAUAGGUGCAAAUUAAUCGUCCAUUAAAAUGCCCUGUGGACAAAGUUGGGUAUGAGAUUGGUCGAAGGAUGAGAAGUAAUUGGGACAGACGAGGUGCGGAGGAGUAUGGAGCUGAGAAGGUACUAUUGGGAAGCAGAGUGUGUACUCAACAGCUUCGGGCCACACACAGCUCUUUCCUUCUGGGUUUCUACUAGGAGAACCAAACAUGAUUAUUCUUAUGAGGCAAAGAGCAGGAAAGGGGAAGGAAGAUUUCCUGGGCAACUAGUAUAUGGCAGACACUCUAGGAGCUUACACACACACACACACACACACACACACACACACACACACACACACACACACACCGCACAGACAUACAUGCAUCACAAACACAUACUGCACACACAACAUAUACACACAUACCAGCACAUUCACAUACACACAUAGACAUACACACAAAUACACCACAAACACAUAUACAUACACACAUAUACACCAUAAACAUACACAAAAACGUAUGUACUAUAAAUAAACAUAUACAUGCAUACUACAAAUGAAUAUACAUAUGUACAAAAUAUACCUACACACAAAAAACAUGCCACAAAGUACAUACACAUAGCACCUACACACACAUAUCACAAACGCACACAUAUUUACACACAAAUACACCACAAACACACCACAGGCAUACUACAAAAACAUGCACACACAAAUAACACAUACACAUACACCACAAACAGAGAGAAAUACACACAAAUAUACCACAAAUACAUACAUACAUACAUAUACACACAUACAAACUCACACAUGUACAUACAAAACACAUGCAUACUACAAAUAUACAUAUUUACAUACAUAUACACGCACAGACAACAUACAUACACAUGCCACAAACACACACACACACACAAAACAUAUACACACAUCACAAACACACAUUUUCAAAGAUGGUAUUAACUUCACAGAGAAUUAAAAUAUGUGGUGACUUGCCCAAUGUGUCAGUUAGAAGCUGGUCCAGAUUUAAGACUGGUUUUGUAUGACUUUACAAAAGUCAUUUUUAACUUCCCAUCUUCAAUUCACAUCUCUGCCGAUGAAAGCAGAACCUUUUUGCAGCUUCCUCUGUCUUUGUUUCUGCCUCUUUUGGGAGCCUUCUUUCCCAAGUACCUUAGUAGGUGUUCUAUUGCUGUAAAGAAAUACUAUGAGUGUGACAAAUCUGAUACAGUUUCAGAGGCUUAGUCCACUGUUACUGUGGCAGGGAAUGUGGUGGCACAUAGGAAGCCAUGGUGCUGGAGAUUAGCUGAGAGCUCUACACAUGGAUCCACGGGCAGCAGGAAGAGAAAGGAGAGACAGUCACUGAGCCCAGCUUUGGCAUUUGAACCUCAAAGCCCACCCUCAGUGAUACACUUCUCCAAGAAAGCCUUACCCACUCCAACAAGGCCACAUGUCCUAAUCCCUCUCAAGUAGUGCCACUUUCUGGUGACUAAGCACUGAAACAUAUGAACCCAUAGAGGGGAGGGGCAUUCUUAUUCAAACCACCAUACCAAGUGUCCCAGUCUCAUAGAAGCUUACAGAAAGGAUCCUGGAGGCUGCUGAGGCCGAGCAAUGUAUGGCAGGAUUAGAUUCUCUGCCCAGAGAUCCUGAGAGGCCAUUGUGUGAAGCUGUAAAGGUGACACACACUACCCCCAUCCUCUUAGAAGCAGCAAGUCAGGAUCUGGGAUGUGUGUGGUGAUUGAUGCCCUAAUCUCAACAGAAUCAACUAAGAGACAAACCUCUGGUCAUGUUUGUGGUGGAAUCUAGACUGAGUUAACUAAGGUGCAGCACCAGUCCCUAGACUGGAGACCUGGACAAAAUACAAAAAAGAAAGUAAGCUGUGUACCACACUUUCCUACCACAAUUGACUGUGCCCUUCAACUGUGAGACAAAAGGAAGCCUUCCUCCUUUAAGUUUGCUCUUGUCCGGCAUUCUGUUACAGCAGUGGGAAAGGUAGCGUGAUGUGCUUGUUGGAAGGGCUUUGCUAACCAUAACAGGAAGUGGAGAAAAUCUCAGGAAGCCAACUAGUCAAACUGCUGUGCAUGCAUGCACGAACUUAUUAGCAUGAAGAAAUGCAAGGGCAUAGAGACUCUAGCUUAGGAUCUACCAUCCUGUAAUAUCUAUGGGACCCAAGUCUGUCUGCUCCUUGGAGACUCAGUUAUACUAUCUUUAAAAUGGAUGAAUUGCACUUACUUUGUCCCACUGAAGAAACUAUACUGAAAGAUUACCUUGACUGUGGCAAUAAGUAAUAUACCAGAGAGUAAGUAAGACCAUUGGAAAAUGUUUAUAGUAAAUAUUCUGUGUGUCCCGGUGGACAUGAAUGAAAGAAGAAGUGGUAUUGUUAUUUCUUGAUGGCCAGUAUGUUCAUGUCAAAGAAAUCCAGACAAUCUAGCUUAAGUCCAGGUAGAUGGUGAGAGGGCCAUGGGUGGAUCCAGCCUCACAGGCAGCUAGCUCCACGUGUCCAGCACUGGGGCCACUGUGCCUCUGGGUCCUCCUACUUAUUCUCUUCAGAUUCUUCUGGGUCCUCCUACUUGUUCUCUAUUCAGACUCUUUCUUUGAUAUUCCUUGUCAUGGUCACUGUUUUAUUACUGUAAAGAAACACGGUGACCUAAGAAACGUACAAAAGAAAGCAUUUAAUUGAGGGCUUGUUUUAGCGUCAGAGGAUCUGCCCAUGACAUGUUGAGGAGCAUGAUCAUUGACAGGGUGAUAGAGCAGUACUGAGAGCUUACAACCUGACCUUCAGGCAGUAGGCAGAGAGAGGGAGACUGGUCUGGUGUGGACUUUUGAAGCAUCAAAGCCCACCCUUAGGGACACGCUUUCUCCAACAACGUCAUGCCCCCUAAUCCUUCCUACUCAGUUCUACUAACUGUGGAAUCAAGCAUUCAAAUAUCCAAUCCAAUGGGGGGCAUUUUCAUUUAAGUCACUACAGAACAGGUGAGCUUCCUGCCUAUGGCAAGCAGUGUGAUCAGUUGUCAGUGCUCCUCAUGUGCCUUCUUCAGGUCUGUAGACGGGAAUGCAUGUAAUAGAAAAGUGGAUGGUCAUAUACACACAGUGUAAGUUCCCGUUUUCACUGUCUGUGAUGAGUGAAGGAAGGCUUUGUUCCUACAGAUCAGAUAGGAAAGUCUCAUAGCCAUGCUGUAAUUGGCCUGGAUGGUCACAUGCAUGCCUCGGAUAAAUCUCCGUGGUCAAGGAUGGGGAUUACCCCUGGCUUGCCUUGCAUCUCAGGAUUUUCCAGUGUGUCUAAGAGGAGAGGGAAACACACAGAGACAUAGCCACUUCCAUUUGUAACUACCACAGAAUUUAAACAAUAAAAGAUCCCAAAGAAUCCGGAUCCUCAACAUGUUCUAGUUCUGGGGACGCAAGCUACCUGCAGAUGUCUGGAGAUGUUUGCACUGGUAGGAAAUCUUGCCAGUCCGUUAUCCCCCUUAGUUUUGGGCAGGCAUAAGGUACAGAAGAGGUUCAUUCUGUCAAAUCAAGUUAGGGAAUAGAGUGGACGAGCUGACAGUUCCCAGCAACUUUCCAGCCCAACAGAGGACAGACAGAUACCUGAGCCUCAAAAGCAUGUCUGGAGCACCCAUCGUCACAUAAGAGACCCACGGGGUGCCUGACAGGAAGAAGUGCCACAAUGGAAUUAAGCCUUCUGGCUGACUGGACUACUGUGUCCAGAGUUGGAAAAGCAUCCUCGAAGGAAUGUAUGAGGCCCACUGUGCCUUGUUGGAGGAUUAGGGAGGAAGGUAGGACCAGAUUUGGUACUUGGAGGAGUUUUGAAGUAUGUCAUCCACAGUGAUCAUUGCAGGUGCCUUCUCUACAUCAGUAACCAUGGUCUUUACAGGAGGCCUAUGGCACAACCCCCGGUUGCACAGCAAGCUGCCAUGGUGUUGCCCUUUUUAAGAACAAAACUUAACACUGGAGUGUGCACCACAGCAGUUGGGAAAUCACUACAGGGCUACUUUACUUUUCAAAAGAACUAAGCCCCACUGCUAAUAAGAAUCACUAUUAAUGCUAAUCAUCACCUCCUGACACCUCUAUUGCCACAGAGCAAACUGACCUUCAAAGCUCCAGGAACAUUAAUUACCCCUUCCAGCUCCCCUGUGCAAACUUAAAUUGGGGUCUGAGUACAGGGUGUGGAGUCAUAAAGUCCAGGAAACCAGAUUGCCCCCCUACCCACCCUCCCAUCUUUAGUAGAGAAAACUGGAUCUACAAAAGGCCCAUCUAGUUCCCACUGUCAAAGGGAGAGGCGGGAGGAUAAGGAGCUGACCAUGGUUUCUGAGGUCAUGGAGAAACUUAAUUAGAAGGUUCAGGGUAUACUUUCAUGAAGAAAGAGUGGUUGGGAUCCUCCCUUCUCCACUUCAAGCCCCUCAGAGUGGCGGUACAGUAUAUCCUGUGAGACCCAUUUGUCUGCCUCAGGGGUGGCUGACUGACCCAAUCUGUUCUCGUUCUCAUGCUUGAUGCUGGGGAGACACAGAGGAGCAGUCCAGACCUCCAUUCUCUUGCUGUUAAAAUGUCCAUUGGGACUGGGAGCCUCCAGGGGCUCAGACUAUUUAUUGAGGGUUUGCUUGCCUCUGGUAGGAAUUUUAGCUUGGCCUUGUUUGUGCCUUUGCCAGGAUCUUUUCCUCAGACACACUCAUUCAGCACUCACUGGGCAGUAAGGCGGCUUCAAGUAAGCAGUGGAAGAAUUUGGCCCCCAACUUUUUAGUUUGUGGUUAAACAGAAGACCAUCAGAAGCAGAUACCAAUUGGGGUGCUAUGCUUUGAUAAAGGGAAACUCAGAGACUGAGGAACCCUGAGGUAAAGUACUCCUUUCCUAACCUGCAUGAGGGAUCCUGUGUACCUCCUAGAGGUCUAAGGAAGUCUCCCUGAGCUCUUCCUGGUGCCUCAAUUCUCUAGAGAAGAAACCUCCUGACAGACCCCGGCUCCAAGUCAACAUCUUCUCAGUCCCUCGUCCCCAAGUGCCUGUGCCAAGCUUAUUGUGCAUCCAACCUGUAUUUGGGAAUAACUCUUUAGGUAUAAAGUGUUAUGCUUAGGAUGACAGAAUUAAUAAGCAUUGAGUUCCUGAGGUUUGCAAGAGUACCCAACAGUCUGCUGAACACGCUCACAACUCAGGAAGCUGAGAGUCUCAGGGCUGGCCUGGGUGCAGGUUGCUCCUCCACCUGUACAUCCUCUCAUAUUCUUGCUUUGGGUGGCAGAGGCUCAGGUGGAAAGCGAGUUUCAUGUCAUCCUGAAUAUAAAAGGUUAUACUUUAAGAGGUGUCCCCAAACACAGGGCUGGAAGUGUGACAAGCUUGGCACAGGUACACAGGGAGGCUGGACUGAGAAGAAGCUGAGGCACAAAGUCUGGGGUGUCAGAAAAGGCUUAUUUCCAGAGAAAUGGGCCAUCAGGAAGAGCUUGGGUAAGCUGCCUCGGCCUACUGGGAGGUACCCUCAAAGCCUCUCCUUCUUACCUUUUUGUUCUUGGUUACCAUGCACCGAGAAAAGAAGUAGUUUUGUUCUUGGCAUUCUGGCCUGGAGCAUCUGAGGAACAGUGGGUUUUCCCUGGACACCUGUUUUGCAUUUCCCUUUGGAGUGACUCCAGGGAAGAGCAGCAGGUGAAGACGUUAACUGCCCAAGGUAGUUUGCUUUUUCCUGUCCCUGUUCCCUCCAGGCCUGUCACUGGAGCAGCUGCCCAGCCAACCAGAAGUGCUAAGCAGCUGCAAACCUUUCUCCUGGCUUCCCCAGCCUCCUCCUCGAUUUCCUCUGGGUUUACUUCAUGGCCUGUGUCUCUGAGGAACACGACUUGCUUACUUAUUUCCUAGUGUUCUCUAUCCUCAUUCAACAUCCCCAGCACCCACCCAUGAGUCUGUGAGGUGUUGAGUAUGGCCUACGUCCUUGUGGGUAGCAUCAGAGGAUGGAUGAGCAGUGCACAGAGGAGGUGCUUCUAUACAGACAGAGAAGAAUUGCAAGGGAGGGGUAUGGGCUUGGUUUUAAAGGACACCUGGGGUUUUCUAUUCAAACAGAUGGGAGCUGUCCUACUGAAGAUUCUAACUACUGUUUGGUCCCCAAAGAGCCCCACAGUCCACAGGUGUGUUUGUGUUCUCUGUGGACAGCUUGCAUGCUUAGGAUCUCAACACUCCCCAUCCCCCUCCACACCAGUGUCUUGGCUCAUGUCUGCUGAUCUUUGCGUUUCCUGUGAACCUGUUUCAUUUUAUCAGCAUCCUUCAGGACACAGAAGCUACCAUGUUGCUUAGAGACAUGGCCUUCAGAAUGGUGGGAGGCCUGGGUUUGAGUGUCGGCUUUAACUCUUGCUACCUAGUAGAGCUUAGGCAAGGUUCUCUGAGCCUUACUUUCCUUAUUUGUAAAACUGGAGGCACGGAUAGCCUCACAGGCUUGCCAUGGGGCUCACAGCGAAGUGCGCAUAUAAAGUCACCACUUUAUAGAGAGGCGGACAAUCUAGGGAUCAGCCAAUAGCUACUAAGGGUAGGACAGUUUGCCAGAGCCCCACUGUUCCCUCAAUCCCCAACACUGGCAUUUUACAAAGUUGAAGAGCAGGGAUCCUUUUGGAAGACACACCCUUUGUUGACUCACCCUCCACUCCCACUCCCUGUCCCCCCACCCCCACCCUAGCUGCCUCCUCCUUGGAAGCUUUUGGUUUUCUUCUCAAGGGCUGCACUAAGUCACAUCUCACAGCCAUUUCCUGGAGUCAUUGGUGUGGUGGAGUCUUGUCCAGGGCCUGACAUUUAGGCUUGUGAAAUUCCACUGUGGGUACAUUUAGCCCAUCCUUCAAAACCAUCUUGAAUCUUACUUCUCCCUCCUAAUAUUUACUAGCCUGUUUCCUAACAGGAUUUCCUCCCUGCUCAAUCCAUGGAACACUCCCGAGUUAGAGAAGUUCUCUGAAAAGGCUUUUUCCUUGUGUUCUUUUCCUGUUCAAAAUGCUUCCCAGACUGUUUAAUACAUGAAGUUCAAACUCUGUAGCCAAGAGUAACAAUGUUUCAAAAGUCAACCCUGAGCCUUUAGGCUGUCUUGUUUUCUUUCUCAGGACCAAAUGCAGAUAGAAAACACAGCCAUGAUCUCUGUAAAGAUGAACUGAGGUCUGUCGGAAAUGCACUUAGCACGUGAUUUUCCAGAGCUCUUCAGGGUCUGUGAUCGCAGACCGUUUGCCACCCUGAAGACCAGACUGAACAUGUGUGUAUUCAAGGGUCAUCUAAGACUCGAACUUAGCCGUGUCCUUUAGUCUAGUGAUGUCGACAGCCAGAAGCCAACCAUCACGUGCUCAGCCAGUCCUUGUCAUGGGAACUGGGGCUCAGGAAAAACUCACUGACGUUCUGGUCAUGGAUGAAGCUGCAUGUCCUAAUGUGAGUCUUUAGGUUGUUGGUGAAUGUUCUGAGAAGCAACUGUGGAACUCUCCAAGCCUCUCCUUUUGUUUUGUUUUCUUAGCUAUGAGGUGAGAAGCUUUGCUCUCUGUUCCUUGCUGCUACCAUGAGGCAGUCCCAUCAGAUCUCUGAAAAGUGUACACCUGACUACGGUCUAAGGGCCAGAACACACUUUUUUUUUUCACGCGUUGAUCACUGCAAGGAAUUUGAUAUAGUGGCAGGAAGCUGACCGACAUAGAUGCCCACACAAUUGGUUGGAGCACAUGUUUGGGUGUGUCUUUUAAGGGAUUUUCAAUAACUCACUGAGGAAGAUGCAUCCUGAAUGUGGGUGGCACCAACUACUAGGCAGGGGGUUUGGAUAGAAUGAGGUAGAUGCACGGGUCCUCUGCUUCGGCCUGGAGCUGCACACCUACCUCCUGCCUCAUUUGGAUGCUUCCACCCUAACACUCGGUAGCUCUGCUUUCCCCGACUUCCCAGCCUGCAGGCACAGUCAUCAUGGGACUCUUAUCUCAGGCCACAUGAUCCUUUCUGACAGAACCUCUCAGAAGAUUGUAUAGAUUCAGCUGAUUCUGUCUGAAGAAUACUGGCCACUACUGAAGGAUCCCAGAGCUACGGAACUCAAAGUUUUAAACAGACAUGCUUGAAGCAGACAUACCCUCUGCGUUAGAGAGAGACAAUUACCUCUGCUCUUGUACAAACACCUUUGGAAAGAUAGACUGGAAAGCAGGCAGUUGGUAUUUUGUUCACAGAGGAUGCAGAAACGGGACACUGGGAUAUCUGCCUCCCAACAAGGCCUAAAACAUCACAGGUCUCUCUGACUGUCAGCUAUAGUGGGAGCAGAAAUACUUCUGCCCUAGGUGUAUCAAAUCCUUUACUAUGGGGUCUCCUAUUCAGCAUGGCCCUUGAGCCUGACUGCUUGGUGCCUUUACUUGCCCAGUUCUUCAGGUCUUCUCAUCAUCUGCCUGAUCCUUCAGCCUCAGCUCCACAGGACCUCAUUCUUGACUACUCUAAGCCCUUAGUGAAUACUCACACCACAUACUCAGUUUAACAAAUCUGGUCAUGUUGGCAGCCCCUAGAAAGUGCUGGGUACACAGACACCUCCAGUGGCAUUCAGUAUCUGGGCUGAUUGACAAGGCAUGCAAUUUAGUUCCCACUCUGUCUCCUUUCAGUGUGUCACUUUCCCUUUGCCUUAGAGAGCUGCAAGGCCUAGGAGACCCUAUUUGGAAAUGUUUACCUUUUCAAAGGUGCUAUUCACUUCAGCUUUAUAGAAGGGGAAAAUCCUACUAGUCAUUUUUACAGUAAUUUAAAAACCACAAACUUCAUGUCCUUUUAAGUUAGUAAAUAUAUGAAACUCAUUUCACUCUUAAUAGUCUAUAAAAAUCAACAUCAGUUUAAAUUAAUCAUCUGUUUGUAGCUUACAUGGUAUGGUUCAAAUCUCAAAUGCAUUUUUUACAGCAGCGUUUGAAGGCCGACGUAGGAAAGAAUGACAGAAGGGACCCCGCCAAGCCUGGAGCCAGGUUUGAUGCUGGCUCCCAGUGUUCCCUAAGAAUGAUAAAAUUACAGCAGCAGACAGAAGAUCAGAAACUCCAUGAGCCCUCCACGAGACUUGGGGGAGCACACUGGCUUUACGAGUAGCCCUCCAGGCUCAGGCCUGCACGGAGUUCUGCUUCUCCUUAUUACUGAACCUCGGUCUCUUUAUUUGUAAAAGUGUGAAAAUGUAACACACAGCAUGGGCUCACCUCGAAGACUGGAUGGGGUGACACGUUAAACACUAAAAAGAGCGGGUGGCACACGGCGCGCUUGACUGUUACAGAUUUCAUAAUCAGAAAGACCUAGAUUUGGGUGGCAGAGAAAGCACUGACAGCUGGUAUGCUGGAUCCCUCAAGCUCUAGGUCAUAUAACGAUUUCUUCCUCAGUUUUCUUUUCUAUUAAAUGGGGUCAAAAGUGACACCAACCUCAGAGGGCUGAUUGUGUGGGUGGACUGGAAGGUAAUCUUCUAUUUACUCAAAGAAGGUGCUAAGUAGCUGUGAGGUGGAGAGCAGGGUCUGUCAUUCGAAGUCCUUAUCUCCCCAUUUGUCAGUCCAGGAUGCCCUGUUUUGCCAUAUGAGUUUAUGAGCUAGAAGUCACAUUUAUGAAGCACUGACCCCAAUGACAAGUACUUAUGAGGAUCGUGUAAGACGGAUGCUUUUAUUUCUAAGUUCCCUCCUGCUUUGUCUGAGUUCUAGCUCUGGAUGAAUGGAUGAGGCAAGUUUGAUUUUCCAAGGUUUCUUUGACAGCCCAGAGUUGGGCAAGGAAGGAGAGGGGGCCCCAUCCACUGGAAACCACAACCUGACAAUGAACUUCCUUAAUCAGUGCACUGCAGAAUUCCUCCAGCUGCUUCUCCUUUGGAGUCAAUUAGAACCUGCUGGGCCCCUGCUCUUUUUCUGAGAGGAGCAAAUGUCAGCCCACAGCCAAGAUUUAGAAAUUUGCCACACCGGAUCAGAAACAAAUCCAUCUGUGACGAGGUCAAGGUUCUCCUAGGCCAAGGCUUCAGCUAUGGAGUCCCUGUAGCCUGCAGGGUGGCCUCCAGCCUAAGGUCAACAACUGCCUGUGGGGCUACCAACAAGUGCUCUCCUGUCCCUAGUUGGUAACCACCCAGAUUUCCAUUUCAGAAGGUGAGUCAUGUUCGGAUGUGGACAGUACAUUAAAUAACAAUUUUUAGGAUGUGAGUGUCAGAGUUGCACAGCAAGAAUGCAUUUGCUUUGGAAUGGGACCUCUUCCUACGUGCCCAGUCUUCUAAUCUCUUCCAUCUGUCUACAUUUCUGCUGAGCCCCAAUAGGCCCCCAGGGCCUCCUGAGUGGUGAGGCUGCCCUGGGCACCAGUUCCUCGGAGACGUUCUUGCCAGUGCCCAGGGCCGGGAAGAGAAAUCAGGUAGUUCUCCGUGUGUUCUCUAUUUCACAUGGAGAAUGGCAAGGAGGCUGUGUGCUCCCUUAGAGCUCUCUGGUCCUUGGAUCAUACAGCUGCUCACACAUGCUCAGUGAGUGAAAAACGGCAGUUGCCAUCAAUGAAACACUUAACUGGGCUCAGCUCCGUGGGAGGCGCUGGUGUUAGCCAUCUGCUGAGCUGAAGGCAUCAAAGCAAGCAUCUUUGAUUGGUUUCAGAAAAAGAAGGUAGAAUGGUGGCAUUGGCACACUUAUGACUUGCCAGCUUCUCUCCUAGGUGCCAUAAUAUACACCCGAUAGAAGUCAAAGCGGGCUUAAGGAAAGGGCCACAUUAAGUGUGGGGCCAAAGCCUCCUGCCCUGUUGUGCUGUCAGAAAGGGCCAUGGGUCUGCUUCCUUUGGGUGCUGAGCCUCCUUGGGUGCUGCUCUCACUUAGGAGGGCCCAGACCAGCAGUACUCCUAAGCACAGCUGGGCUAGGGUGACAAUGGAAGUGUGAAGGAUCGGUGUGAAGCAACAGUGUUCUGCCAGGACAUGGUGCAAGGCCAAGAUGGGGCCCACAACAGCCUGUAUCCUUGUGGUCCUGUUGAUUGUUAAGAGUUGGUGGCUACUCUGAGAAUGCCCUGAGGAAGAAGUCUCCGGGCAUUUCAUAAGCUGGGAGAUGAUUGCCUUUGCCUGCUCGUCCCCAUAGGAGGAAGGAACAGCAGACUUUACUGUUGUGACAUUAGUCUGAGGACCACGUGCUGGUAAGAGAAGAGCAGAGAGCCUUGGGUCCUGCCUUCCGCUCGAGAGAUCUGGGUAGUGAUGUGUUUCAGCUUUUUACCAGUGCUUGUCAUGGUUUUGCUUUGACCCUGCACCUCUAGGUAGCCCUGAAGGAUUUCGUGGAGUGCACUUUCAGUUUAGUUUCAGGGUCCGGGUUGGGGUGAGUGGGGGAGCACACUGCUUUUCUGACUACUCUCAUGAGGGCAGAGAUGGGUAGCUUAAAAUGACACAUGUGGACUAUUUCACAGCUCUGGAGGAGAAUCUGCUGGUAACAUGUCUAUGGGGCUUGUCUCCUGCUGGAGGCUCUGAGGAAAGGCCUCUCUCCCGUCUUCCAUGGCUCCUGGAACUUUGGCCUCAGCUUUCAAGUACUCACAGAGCACCACUGUUGUUUAGCUCUGUCUUCCUAUUGCCUUCUUCACCACCCACCCAUAUAAAGACAUUUGUCAUUGGAUUUAGGCCCCACCAGGAUCCAGGACCAUCUCGUCUUGAGAUUCUUAACUCAACAUUCAAGGAGCCCUUUCCAGAUACAAUGACUGUCACACAUUUCCUGUCAACAAGCCUUGUUGGCCCCAUUCAACUCAUCACAAGGGUCAAGAAUAACAGAACAAACAAGAUAUGACUAAUUACACGUUGUAAGGAGUGAGCAAAGGAUGCUUACAGAGUUAUAGAGCGGCUUCAGAUUCCCUACCUAGAAAGUGAGAACAGUACCUAACUCAUUCAACUGCUUGAGAGUUUAAUGUGUAGCUGUUGAUUGACGGAAGAAGGUGCGCCUAGCUUAGUGGUGCAUAGUAUGUUUUCUUCCUCUAGAUUUAAGUUUUUGUCUUUCUUCUCCAUCUCUUCCACCUUGUUUGUUCAUUUGUUCAGCUCACUGCUCUGAGGUCCUACUGUGUGCUAGGUUUUUAUUCUAGAUAUAGAGAGCACUGCAGGGAAUAGGCAAAAGUUUGAUUUCCUAAUAAGUUUAUGGCUUAAUCUAUGUAAUUGUUACAUUUUACAGUUAUGUGUCAACUUGACUGAACCACAGAGUGCCUGUAUCUGUCUUUAGUUUUUUUUUAAUUUAAUUAAUUAAUUAAUUUUUAGUGUUUCUAAAAUAAUAUUUCUAGAUGAGAGCCACAUGUUAUUCAGCAGACUGAGUCAAGCAGAUUGUCCUCUCUAACGAGGCUAACUCUUCUCCAGUCAGUUGAAGAGAUGACCUGGACAGAAAGGUAGGAAGAAAAGAAUUGUAGCUUUGAAUAAGACUAUCAGCCUUUGGGGGCUUUGUUCGGUUUUUAUGUUCACAUUCACAAUGUAUCAAUGACCCUUCUUGGGAUGUUAGACCACCCAGCCUUGGACUGAAACCACAAUAUCCACUCUUCUCUAUCUUGGACUUCAGAUAUGGAUCAGAACUAAAUCAUAGACUCUUCCAAGUUUUCAACUGCUGACUCAUCUUGUAAAUCCUGGGACUUUCCUGAGUCUGUGGUAAAUGUCACAUGUGCUGACUCCUUAUAACCCCCCCCUCUCUUAUGCUAACUCACUGUAGAACCUUGAUAAACAACACAAUAGGAUCAUCUUUGUCUCCAUUUGAAUGUAACAUGGCUUCUUCAGCCAUCACCUGUUUUUAUCUGCAGAACAGUUCUCUGGAUCAGACAGAGCAGCCCUCUGAGAAUCCUCACCUACAGAAGAGGAAACUGAGGUCUAAGAGGGAUUCUAUCUGUGCUUCUAUGGCCUAGCUGCCCAGAAGUAGAACAACUUCAACCCCAAAGUCAAGGCCCUGCAGAAAGUCAGGAAGGGUGGAAGAACAGCUACUCUCAAUUUUUAAUAUAGCAUUGGCCAUCAAUUUAGAAACCUCUUGAUAUCCCCUGAGAAGAAAUAAAAGACUAAAAAUGUGGACUUAGUAAGAACACUAAGGCCCAGGGAGGAUCUUUGGCUUGUCCCUCUGUACAGCUUGAGGGGAAGACACUGCCUGCUUAGAGGCCUCAUCUGUCAAUCCAACACUUGAUUGUCUACACUGCAUGCUGAUGCUGACGACCCAGAUGCAGACUGUUUCCUCCAUGUUCUGUCCUCAUGGACUGUCUCUUUGGAAUAUCCCAUGUUCAUAGAUAUCAUCUGAGAUGUCGCCACUCACGGCCCUGCAUUUGUAGUGAAGAUGCUUCAGCCUCAGACAAUCCUGUGUCUCCAUCCCAAUCCCUUCUUACUAAUAGGGGAAAUAUGGCCACACGUCUUGCUCUUCAGGCUCUGGAUUUUGUCAUCAUGGAGGCCCAAACACAGUAUUUAUGACUCAUGGUUUCUCUUGAGGACUACGAGAUGAAGCCGGCAACACAAUAUGGACACUGUAAAUGCUCUACAAAUUGAGGGACAAGCCCUGUAUUAAAGGGGGCCCAGAAUACAUACUGUGUUCAAGGCUAUGUUGAUGCCAGUUCUGUUGGCUCAUGAAGCUAGCAGUGAACCACUCCUGUAUACUGAAGUAGUGGUGACUGUCCCUGUUGCUGUAAGAAGCCCCUUUCUUCUCUGGUCCAUGCUUUUCCAUUUAUAAAAUGGGCACAGUCAGAACUCCUACUGUGCAGGAGCUGAUGGUACUGCUUGGCAAGCCAAGCAAAGGAAAUGAGUAUUCACCCACUUACUAUCUUAUCUCCUCACUUGCUAAGGAAAAGCUAAUAUAUGGUUGGUAGAGUUCAGUAUAUGAUAAGAUUAUCAUUUUAAUUAUCAUUGUCACCAAGUUUCCUGGGAUAGGUGAAGCUCUUGGAUGACAAAGACUUUGACAAAAAUAACGGAUCAAGCAUAUCAGAGGAGUCAGGUAUGGGAACACCUGCCUGUAAUCCCAGAACCUGGGGGGCAGAUGCAGGAGGACUGUUGUUUGAAUAGCCUGGGCUACCUACUGAGUUCUAGGCCAGCCUGGGCUGUAAAAUAAGAUGUUUGUUUUCUGUUUUGUUUUUGUUUUUGUUUUAAAGCAAACAAACAACAAUCUACACAAUGAAACAUUCACCAUGUCUGGAGUCAAAAUGGAAAAUAGCAUAAAUAAGAUUUGUAGAGUUUAU
Rattus norvegicus (Norway rat) is the source of this 45966-nucleotide non-coding RNA. NCBI's taxonomy places the organism in Eukaryota, Metazoa, Chordata, Mammalia, Rodentia, Muridae. The record is from RefSeq and is a predicted model, not a curated record.